CUCUCCUAUGGAAGAGGAAUCAGUUAGCAGCAAUGCGCUGAGAAGAAACAUUGCAUUAAAUUUGGCAUGGCAUACGUAUUUCUGGGCUGGCGUUGGUAUUUGAAUCUUGGAGUAUCACUUUGUAAUUUUUCCGUCAUAAAAAAAAAAAAGUAUCACUAUCUCCUUGCAUGUAAUGAAGAUGAUAUCCCUCUUGAGUGCAAUAAAUUUAUGUUUUCUCAUUCAAAUUUGCUACUGCCAACUCCAAUUAGUUCAAAGUUACUUCAAUUCCCAUUACAUCAAUAUUACUAUGGCUUGGAUUUGUUAAAUUUUCAGGAAUUGCUAACAUAUUUUUUAUUAUAAGCCUAGGGAUUCUGCAUCCCAUUGCAAUCAUAUUUUUGUUCAAGGUAAAGUCCAAAUAUGUCGAGUUAUAUCUCUAUUUAGAUAUUCUUAGAAUUCUCAUGAUUCCUUUACGGUUUCCUUUUCAUGUAAGCCUUUGAACCCUUCACGAAAUCACCGACUUGAAGACGGUUUGGGAAGUGAGAGUAUGGUGACAUAGUGUUGGGAAAGUAAUCCCAUAUAGGAAACUGAUAUAAAACCGUAAUCCGUAAGGAAACUGGAAAACAAGAAUCGUGGUUGGUUGGUUGGUUGGUUUAAGGAUUAGAGAAAGGAAACAAGACAACCUUUUCCAACAGGAAAAGGGAUAACUUCCCACUGCCUAUAUAUAUGAGAUAAAAGGAAACGGCCGUCUUCUGUUCAAUUCUAUUCCAUUGUAUUCUGUUUUAUUCAAUACAUCAGUAAUUUUGCAAAAGAUAAUAUAGCCAUGAGUAAGCAAAUUGAUGAAUCCUCCUGCCGGAGGGGGACGAAGAGGGACUUCAGCACUGCAAUUUUGGAGAAGAAGAAGUCCGCGAAUAGGCUUCUUGUGGACGAGGCAAUCAACGAUGACAAUUCGGUUGUGGCUUUAAACCACGAAACUAUGGAAAAGCUUCAUCUUUUCCAUGGAGAUACCAUCUUGAUCAAGGGAAAGAAGAGAAGGGAUACAGUCUGUAUAGUCCUCGCUGAUGAGAAUUGCGAGGAACCAAAGAUUCGAAUGAACAAAGUUGUCAGGUCGAACCUCCGGGUUAGGCUUGGGGAUGUUGUUUCGGUGCAUCAAUGUCCUGAUGUCAAGUAUGGUAAACGUGUGCACAUACUUCCCAUGGAUGACACUGUUGAAGGGAUUACCGGAAACCUUUUUGAUGUUUAUGUAAAACCGUACUUCUUGGAGACGUAUCGUCCGGUCAGGAAGGGUGAUCUUUUCCUUGCAAGAGGAUUGAUGAGAAGCGUUGAAUUCAAGGUCAUCGAAACUGACCCUCCUGAGUAUUGCAUUGUGGCGCCUGAUACUGAGAUCUUUUGCGAGGGUGAGCCGGUGAAGAGGGAGGAUGAAGAUCGCCUGGAUGACGUUGGUUAUGAUGAUGUUGGAGGAGUCCGUAGACAGAUGGCUCAAAUUCGUGAACUUGUGGAGUUGCCUCUGAGGCACCCACAGCUGUUUAAAUCAAUUGGUGUCAAGCCUCCAAAAGGCAUUCUGCUUUAUGGUCCUCCAGGAUCAGGAAAGACCUUGAUAGCCAGAGCUGUAGCUAAUGAAACUGGUGCUUUCUUCUUUUGUAUCAAUGGACCUGAAAUCAUGUCAAAGCUGGCAGGAGAAAGUGAAAGCAAUCUAAGGAAAGCAUUCGAGGAAGCUGAGAAGAAUGCCCCGUCUAUCAUAUUUAUUGAUGAGAUUGAUUCAAUUGCUCCCAAGCGGGAAAAGACGAAUGGAGAAGUUGAGAAAAGAAUUGUUUCUCAGCUUUUGACACUCAUGGAUGGGCUCAAGUCACGUGCCCAUGUCAUCGUUAUGGGUGCAACUAACCGUCCAAAUAGCAUUGAUCCUGCCCUUAGAAGGUUUGGGAGAUUCGAUAGGGAAAUAGACAUUGGUGUUCCAGAUGAAGUUGGGCGGCUUGAGGUUCUUCGUAUCCAUACAAAGAACAUGAAGUUGGCUGAAGAUGUGAAUUUGGAAAAGAUUUCCAGCAAUACUCAUGGCUACGUUGGUGCUGACUUGGCCGCUUUGUGCACUGAGGCAGCACUCCAGUGUAUCAGGGAAAAGAUGGAUGUAAUAGAUCUUGAAGAUGAAUCAAUUGAUGCCGAGAUACUCAACUCGAUGGCUGUCACCAACGAGCACUUCCAGACUGCGCUCGGGAUGAGCAAUCCCUCUGCUCUGCGAGAAACCUUGGUUGAAGUUCCAAACAUUAACUGGGAGGAUGUUGGAGGCCUUGAGAAUGUGAAGCGUGAGCUUCAGGAGACUGUUCAAUAUCCAGUCGAGCACCCUGAGAAAUUUGAGAAGUUUGGCAUGUCACCAUCAAAGGGAGUUCUUUUCUAUGGUCCACCAGGUUGCGGGAAAACUUUGCUGGCCAAGGCUAUUGCAAAUGAGUGUCAAGCUAACUUCAUCAGUAUCAAGGGUCCUGAAUUGCUUUCCAUGUGGUUUGGAGAGGCUGAGGCUAAUGUCAGAGAUAUAUUCGACAAGGCUCGCCAAUCUGCUCCUUGUGUCAUCUUCUUUGAUGAAUUGGAUUCAAUUGCUGUCCAGAGAGGAAGUCAGGCAGGAGAUUCUGGGGCCGCUGACAGAGUUUUAAAUCAACUUCUAACUGAGAUGGAUGGGAUGAACGCAAAGAAAACUGUCUUCAUUAUUGGGGCCACAAACAGACCUGACAUUAUUGAUCCUGCUCUUUUGAGACCUGGCCGUCUUGAUCAAUUGAUAUACAUCCCUCUCCCUGAUGAAGAAUCUCGACAUCAGAUUUUCAAAGCAUGCCUCAGGAAAUUGCCUGUUUCUAGGCAAGUAGACUUGAGGACUCUAGCAAAGUAUACUGAAGGCUUUAGUGGUGCUGAUAUUACUGAGAUAUGCCAACGUGCGUGCAAAUAUGCAAUCAGAGAGAACAUUGAGAAGGAUAUCGAGAAGGAGAGGAAGAGGAGAGAUAAUCCUGAGGCGAUGGAAGAAGACAUCAAGGACGAAGCAUCUGAAAUCACAGCUGGUCACUUUGAAGAAUCAAUGAAGUAUGCUCGUAGGAGUGUCAGUGAUGCUGACAUAAAAAAAUAUCAGAAAUUUGCUCAAACAUUGCAGCAGUCCAGAGGAUUUGGUACUGAAUUUCGCUUCUCUGAGUCCAGUGGCCCGGCUCUAGGAUCUGAUGCUUAUGCAACAUCUGCUGGUGGUGCUGCCGAAGAUGAGCUAUAUGCUUAGGCUGUCUUUGUUUAUGACAUGUUAGCUUGAAUGUCUAAGUACCUUUUUUGGCUCAAUUGUCGGUUUGAUUUUCCCCUGUAAAAUAGGAUAAAGAGAUUAGACUGUCCUUGUUUUCCUGCAUCUUUAAAGUACCUCAAUAAUAACAAUCUCUUUGCAAUAGUUCUUCCUAUUAGAAGCUAAGCAGUGUCAGUCAUCUGCAAUUGUUAUCUUAUUCAAUUCAGCCCUCUCUUCCACAGUGCACUUUCUGCUGUUUUUGCAUAGCAUUACAAAAUUGAUGCCUUUCAUGGUCGGAGAAGUCACGAUUAAUACAGAACAAUGAGCCUACAAGCAGAUGAUCCUCCAACUAGUGUCCAUCAUGGUGACUGAUAAAAGCCCUUUUCAGAAAACUACCAGGAUGCUCAAUGACCCAACACUUCUUGUUACUAGUGACUCUUGAAAAAAGCAUUAUACAUUAGCAUAGUUUCACUUAAAAUUUGUUGUGUAAAUACUUCUUCUUUCCAACAUAAUUUUCUGAGCUGAGAAAGAAUCCUGUAAAGCUGCAAAAGCCCAAGUAAAAAUUAUUAUUUCCAAAGCAAACAAAUAACAUCAGAAACACAAUUUACAAUCAAAAGCAAGCAGUGGAAACGAUUAACUAAAAGGCAAUAAAAAGACAAGUGAUUGCGUAAAUGCAUGAUGCUGGGCGAUCGAAAUGCUUGCAGUUUUGAGGCAUGCAACGAAUCCCCUCAUUGACGAAGAAUCCGGGAACUUUGAUAAUCCAAUUCUUGAAUGCAGACCAAAUGUUCGAGAAACUGCCUGUAAGAAAUUACCCCGUGAGAGACUGAGAGCUGAAGCAGUUUCAUGAUUCAUGAGUUUUCAGGAACACGUUGCUCAAAUUAUAGUAGGCUGCCACCUACGUGGCUGAGGCGAAAGACAUAAAAUGGAAAGUGGAGCUGCUGAAGUUUUACUGUUUUACCUUCCUAUACCUACACUAUUUAGAAAUUACGGUCUCCUAAGUCCUCAAAGAUUUCUUUUGAAACCUAUUAGCCCUCAAUAUCUCUUCUACAACAAUAUAAUACCCCGCAUUUUCAUUGGAAAUAAUGAUCAGAGGUGAUAUAUAAAUAUGAAUGACACAAUUAUAUACAUUGAAAGUGUGUGUAUAUAUGUGUGUGCGUGUGUGUGUCUAUGUAUAUAUGUAUAUGUAUAUGUAUUAUCUAAUAAUCAUUUUAACUAUGAGAAAAUUGGUUGUUUGGAUUGCAAAUUUUCAAUUGUUUUUUGGAAAAAAAUUACUGUAAUAUUUUUGUAGAAUGUAAUGUAUGUGAGAUAAAAAGAUAAUUAAAAAUAUGUAAAAGAUAUAUUCAUGAAAAAUGUAAAAUUCAAACAGGUUUUGUUCAAGAAUUUUCUAAAAAAUAACAUUAAAAAAAUUUUAAGCAAUAUGGCCAUGUAAAAUCUAAUUGUUCUCAUCCGAUAAUUUUCUUUUCAUUUUGGGAAAGUCUACAGUACUCUGAUUGUUCAAAGUUUUUGGUUGAAAACAUGUACUUGAAUUUUGUUCAUAGCCUAAGGCUUAGACUCAAAAACUAUAAAAAAAAAUUUAUAAAUAAUUUAAGUAAUUUUUAAAGAUUCUAGUAGCAUCACGAAUACUGCAACUUUGAAACAAUAUAAUACUCUUGGUUUUCCAUCAAUGUAUACUGUCAAUUGGACAAAUAAAAUAGAAAAAAUCCAAAAUAGAAAAAAUCGUAAAAAGAUGUUCCAACAGCCAAAAUAAAAGGAACUUUGACAAAGAAAUGCGCCUUCAUGCCAUCGUUAUUACAUCAACUUCUAUAUUACUCAUUGUUAUUAAAAUUCAUUAUUGAACCAUCCACUAAAUCUAGUUCUUCGUAUUGGCAUUUAUUUCUAACUUCGCAAAUGGAAGCGAAAGGGAAAAGGGAGAAGAACGAGAGUAAGAGAGUAGAUAAGAAAGGAGAUGGGUUUAAGAAGAUCUUUUUUUAAAAAUUUUAAAAGUACAAAUUCUUUUUCCAUCUUGAAUAAAGACAACGCUGGUGUAAUGUUACUUGGGUCUUAUUUGAUAAUCCAAUUCAACACUUAAAUUUAAUGAAUUCAGAUUUUAACAUGUUCACAUGCAUUUUUAACAAAAAAUUAAAAAUUUAAAUUAAUUAAAUAGCACUGAAUUUUCUGAACAAGAUUUGCUUCCAAAAAUCAGUGAUAAACUAUUUACUUAUCACGUAAUGUGAUAUACAAUAAAUGUAUCAAAUUUACUAUUUAACAAUUCAAUAACUUAAUGGAUUCAUAUUUCAGAUUUCAGUUUAGGUAUUUAAAAUACUCCUCUUUUUUCCUGACAUUUUUGGUCGGGCUAUAAUAUUAUUCUGUUAUAAAUCCCACCAAUUGUAAAUUAGUUUGUUGAUUGUAUUACUCCCACCAUUGUGAGUUCCUUGUAAUCAUAUAAAAAAAAAAUUCACGAGUUCAAACCAAGAAAGCUAAGUCGUAGUGUACAAUAACCCAAGGAAGUUUUAAAAUGAUGUGUUACAAAUUUAGUUCAUUCUCAGCAAAGGGGCCGAAAGAAACGAAGUACAGAAUAUGAGUGCAAGAACAAUUAAAAUUCAUCCACAAAUUCUUGGAACUGUCCAAGUUUGUGGUGUCAUAGUCUUUUCUUCAUUUGGCAAUGCCAUGUAUUUUUUCCAAUCCUCAAUUAACAUCCUAAGAUCAUGAAUUUUAUUGUCUAGACCAAUACAACAAUUCGCAUGCAUGGUGCAAACAAGAUUAAGAUCUUUACUAGGCUCACAAAAUCCACCGUAGAAAGCUGUGUCCAAGAACCUAAUCUUGAGCCCAAUCUCAUUGAUGAAGGGGUCAAACUUGAUCCCAUUAAGCACAUCUUGAUCAUGUUGACCGGGAAAUCUGUCUUUUGAUGUGUACCAAAACUUGUAAAAUUGGAUUGUUCGGUUAUUCGAUUUCACAUAGUUAAAUCCUCCAUUUGGAGAGUUAUUCAGGUCAGUAGAGGUGUACCAAUAAUGAUCGCAUGCAAUUUGAAAAUCUGCAUCUGAAUACAAAUGUGAGAGUGGAUCUCGAAACCACAUGACAUCGGCAUCCUGGUAGUAAAAUUGAGCAACGAGUUAAAUACUGAUAUAAACGUCGACCGAUAUAAAGAAUAGAGGUUUUAGGUUCAAAUUCCCAUAUUUCCUCUUCAUGUAUUAAAUCUCAUCCAUCUCCUGCUAGAAAAACAGAGUAAAAUGAAUAAAUAGUAAAAGUAAAGAUAAAAGAUAUUACCGUGAAAAUGAAGUUGUAUCCCAUCUUAAGAACAGUGUGCAGAAAAUCAAUCCUUCUCCACAUCAUCUUCAAAUAAUCUUGGCUCAUAAAAUGUGCCUCACCAGAAAAAUCCACGCCUUCAGUGGAAACUGAAUGACAAUGAGGGUGUACUUCCGUGCAGUGAGAGUACGCCUUCUGGUCCAAAGCCAGAACUACUACGUGAUUCAACAGCCAUUGUGUUCCAUUUCCAAUUUUGAAGCUCUCAAGAAAGAGAUCAAAUAUUGAAUUUGGUGCUGUCCAAGCUGCAUUUAGUGUUGUUAGGAUAACGGUUUUGUCCUCCAUGGCUGCUUUUCUCAGUACUAUCUCCAACUUGGUUGCUUCAUUUUCUACUUUAUCCUAAAUUAAUGAACAACAAAUUUGGAAAAACGAGAUUACUAGGGAUUGAGAAUAUUAAUGAGGUUAAAUUGGAAAAACCUAGGGAGAGGAAUGAAGAAAGAAAGGAAAAAGAAAAAUAGUUAACAAUAUGAUCAACUACUUUGUUUUUUUUUUUUUUUUGACAUUUUAAGAACGAGGAUUCGAUUUCUUGCUGCAUCUACUCUCUUUAAAGAAAAUCCAGCUUUAAGAUUGAGUCCGAAAUAAGUUUUCAUGUGAUUUCCCUUGAAACCAGCAAGAACGACAUAUAAAGAGUGAGUUUGUGUGUGUGUGUAAUCAAUCACCUGGCCUGAGCGUGGAUCAGCACUAGGUACCAUUAUAGCAAAUAGAAAACGUUAAUGGCAUCUCUCUUUUCUUUUUUCUAAAUUAGAUUUCUUUUUUCAUAUUCUUUUUUUUAACAAAUAAAAAUUUCUUCUAUCCAAUACUUUCCUUUUCUAAAAUUUGUAGUCCUAAAAAAAAUCAAAAUUUGAUAACAUUAAUGUUCUAUUAUUUUUUACAUACCGCGAUUCUACAUUAAUUUUUAUCUUUUUUAUUUGUCAUAAUUUAUCCUAACCAAAAAUUUUUAGAUCAAAAAGUCGACGAAAUUAAUUUUGUUUCUUUAGUUUUUGUUUGUCCAUUCUCUAACUAUGAUUUAAGAUUGAUUGAGAAAAGUAAGAAGAGAAAAGAAAAAUAAAAACUUAUCAUAAUAGAGGUGUAGUUUUGUUUCCUACUAAGGUUAAGUGAGAUAAAUUUAAAGGAUUUUUUUUUUCCUUAGGGGAGUUUUUGUGAUUUAUCCUUUAAUAGAAAUGGAAGCUUCCAUGAAAAUGAAGUACAAAGACUGCAGCCCAAAUUUGCAAAAGUCAUAAAAAGUUUGGCCAAUUCCAUAUGAGAUGUCAAGAUCAAUGUUUAAUUCCAGCUUCUCAUAUUUCCAUUCCCACGUUCUCAAACUUUGCAACUAAAUGCGCUGGUUUCGAAGACUAUUUACGUGGCCUUGAUCUUCACGUUAGCGUAAGAUCCUUUAUUCCUACGAAGGUUUUUUCGGCCAGGGGGGUGUGGGGCUUGUGCGUGUUGAUUGGCUUGAAGAAACAUAAAAUUCUAUAUUAUGUGGUACACACAACUCCAAUCAAGCUAGCUAAAUUAAGUUAGGUCUGCUUCGUACGCAAAACUCCAAUCAAGCAAAGCUAGGCUAAUUCAGUUAGGUCUUCUGUUUUUUAGCUUCGAUUAGAUUAAUGCACUUGAUUCUUUAACUCAUUUGAACUGUCCAAUUGAUUGCUAAAUGGUGGAAAAAAUUAAUGCAUGGAAAGAUAAUCUAACAGAAGCAAAAAAAAAAAAAAAAAGAGUCUUCCAUUGAAAAGUAUAGGAUUAUUUUCUUCAUCUGCGAAUCAGUCCAAAGUAUUGAAACCCAAAAACGAAAGGAAAAAAAAACGACCAAAAACUCGACUUCUGGUCUAAUCAGUUGUUAUGUACUUAUUUGGCUUUUAAGUGGAAAUGUGCAAUGUUAAGGGUGUAAACGCGUCAAGCUUAAUUAUAAAUUACACCCAACUCAAGUGAAAUAAUCCAAAUACCAAAAUCAAACCCAAAAAAUCCACCACAUUGAUUGUAUAGCUAAAAAAGAAUAUUCAAUCGCACAAGUCAUCAUCGGAUAUACUUAUGGAUACAAUAAUAAAAAAAAUGGAAUGACUCUCCUUCAUGCAUGCAUGGCAGAUAAAAGAUAACUUACCGGCGAAGGUAGGUUUUCUUGAACAGUAUAAUUGUUUGUCGUCAUCGGAGGAGAUAAAUUUGCCUGACUAGUCAAGUCAUUGUUAGCAGUUGCAGAUACAUUUCCUUGCAAGAUGUCAGUCGGUGGAGGUGACAAAUUUCCGGCAUCGGAAGAUUUUCCUUGAUCAGAAGAAGGCAACGAAGAUUGGUUUGCUUUUGUAGAUUCCUGAGAUGCACUGCUACUGGGAAAUGGAUUAUGGGAAGCGGGCAAGAGAUACUGUACGUGAUAAGGGGAAUGAUAAAGGACGAGGCACGCUACAAGGGCCGCAAUGGUUAAAAGGGCUAUCUUGAUGAUGCUUUUAGUAGAGAAAUUGUGGUGGUUCUGGUGGUGAAGGAGGUGGUAGCCGCCAGGUUCUGAUGGUUUCUGAUCAUUUUCACCGGUGAUCCUGCCAUCUUCCACAUCCAUCGGAACUCAAAUUGGAUGUGUGUGAUGAUGGGGGGUCAGGUAAAUUAAAUCAUCUCUUAUUCUAUAUGGACUAAUCAGAUAACGAAAAGUCAACAAUAAUUUUCCAAAACUAAUUGAAAGUCGUCGGUUGAAAUUCUAACAGCUAGUCAUUAAAGAAUAGGCUUAAGAAAAAUAGUAAGUUCUUGUACAAUUUAUAUGUUUGGCUAAUAAACCAAAUCAAAUUAAAAUAUAGGAGUUUUUUUUUUUGAUAAUUAAAAUAUAGGAGUUUGUUUAAUGAGGAAAUUUUUAGUAGUUGAGCCCGGUUAGAUUUCCAAUUGGUAUGGUUUUCUCGUUAGUUUUUAACUAUUGCACCUUUCUAUCGUUAGGUAAACACAAGAUUUUAUCAGUUGAAAUCUAUUCUUUUGGCUGCAAUGUAUUGGGAGUAGGGUAGUAUUAAAUUCUUGGAGAGUUUGAUAACUUGGAGAUAGCCAUAUUUUUAUGAGUAUUUUCCCUUGACCGUCAACCGGGGGGAAAAAUUAAAAAACAAAAGUUUAAUAAUUGAGAAACUAAGUUAUCAUUGACCAACACAAAUUGUAUAUAUAUAUAUAUAUAUAAAAUCUCGUGAUAGCGAAUUUUAAGUUUAUAAAUGUUAAAUAUAAAAUUCGUUUUGGGUUUUGAUUAAGACUAAUGAUGAGUUCACUCCCAUAAUCACCAAUUUCAUUUUAAUUGAGCGAAUAGAAGAAACCAAAAUGGUGUGUUAUCAAGCGGUCAAAAUUGGAGUAGAAUUUAUUGGGCAUUAGCAAAGAAUUAGAUUUGCAGAUUUGAUUUUGUAGGCACGUCGACCAAAAAAUAAACAAAAGACGUAAAAAAAAAAUGUUUCAAUUUCUACAAAAAUUAAAUAAGAGAAGAAGUCCAUUUCUUUUUUUUUUUUGGCACUAGAAAAACAAGCAAAUAAUUGCCUCUAGUUUGAUUCCCAAUUAUUAUGCAUGACUACCAAACUUAUCAAAGACUCUUAUAAAUAAUCAAGAGGCCUAUUUAACAGAACCCGAGAAAGAAUAUAAAGAAAAAACAAAACUUUAUAUCUUUAUAUAAUUCACUCAAGUUGUUGGCUCCACGUAUAGAAAACAAAUCCUGGGGAAGACUUUCGAGAGACGCCAAAACUGCUGACAAGUUUUAUAAUCGCUCUUUUUUUUUUUUUUUUGAACUUUAUUAUUAAUCCGGAAAUUUCUUGCAGGCAAUAACUGGCCGUGCAUGUUUUAUUAAGCCAAUGACUAGAAGUUCCUAUUAUCUUAACAGGGAAAUCUGGAAACGCAUUGAAAACGUACGCCUGCAUGCGAUGCCAACUUCUAUGGCCAACGGCACGCUUUCUUCACAAGAAGCGACGACUUAAAUUCUAGCACUCGCAGGUCACAUAACUCAAAACAAGGGUGAUUUAUAUGCUCCUUAUAUUCGAUUCCUGCACUUUUGUUGGUAAUUGAUCCAAUUGACCGAAGCAACUUCGAUCCCUCUAAUCUAGUAUAUAUAGAAAUGCAUCAUCUGGUUUAGAGCUGAAUGCUCCUCUGAUAUAUGUAAGAAUGGUAUAAAUAUUGUCGAUUAAACAAGAAAUUGACCCACUGCAUAUGUUGUUUGUGGAACCAUGUCUAAAUUAUUUUUGCAAAACAGAGGGAUCAGCUCACAAUCCCCUCAACAAAACCCUUCUCAAGCUUAAGUCAACUAUAUUGCUGUGAAUAAUAAACAAAGUCGUCCAAAAUUCUAAAUGAUAGGAAGAAGGAAAAUGAUAUCUUUUAUGUGAUAAAAGCAUAAAAGAUGAUCCACCUUCUUGUUUUCAACUGUAGUUUAGGCAUUCUUUUUUUUUUUUUUCAAUUGCUUAUUAUAGUUGAACUCAUAGGAAGAAAAUACAAGUUGUGAUAACAAAAAAUGUGUUAUAUUGAAAUUCGGAACUUUUAUCAUGAAAUUCGGGAACUUUUAUGAACUUUUCGUUCAUAAUCUUGUAAAAAUCAGAGUUUUGCCUUUACAAAUGUGCAUCUUUACUAGUUUUGCCUCUGUAGAAUCUGCAGCUUUCCAGUCUUCCCAUCUUCUUUAAGUUCAACCUUUUUUAGGUGCUACCGGAUGAUUUAUCUAUACAAUUUCGUCUACUGUCUUCGCCUACUGAUUAGUGCUAAUAUAUGUCUUCACUCUUGACCAAAACACACUUAACAAAUGCUUGAACCGCCAAUAAUGGAACAAAAAGAAGUUAACAAAAACCGCACGUCGACAGGGGAGCGAAUUUGACUCUGGGAUGAGGAUCGACAAGUCCAAUCAUAUCCUGCACUAAUUUUCUAUGUACGGAUUUUUGGUCUUCUUGGGGAUGUAGCUUUUAUCCCUUUGGCAUGCUCUCCAGUCUGAAUUGAUUUCACGUUUAAGGACAAAAAAAAACAAAACUUAUUUUGCUAUCUUUCCAUCUAGUUUCAUUUCAUUGAUAACAUUACUGACUAGUUUAGCCAAACCGUAACUACAAAGAUUGAAUUCUGUUCUUCUAAAAAGGCAAUGUACGACGCAAGUGCUGACAUUGACAUACAGGAAUUGCUUUCACGAGAGCUGUCCUAACAGCAUAGGAUCACCCGAAAGCAGGCUUGGUAUGGACCAGGUUGUUGGAACUUGGAAGCUUGCCCAAUCCAUGUUUACCGACAACAGCAUCAGUGUAGAUGAAAGUUUGAGUGUUGAGUCUGCAAAGUAGAGGAUACGAAUGUCCUCUCGAGUCUUCUCAUCAUGACUAAUAUUCAUCUGGCUUCCUUGAACUCAUGCCACUCUUCCACAGCUUUCUUUGAAAUUAGGCUCCCUUCUUGUUUCUGAUCAUUGGUUUAAAAACAGUUUUCUGAUAGUUGAUUUCAUUUCUUCCUUAGUCUUGAAUAGUUAUAAAACUUAUGACGAUUAACUGCAACGUAAACUUUUUAUACACUGUUGAUCUAAGAAUAAAUGGCUUUCAUGAAAACAAAAAAGCAAAAAUAACAAGGAAUCAUCAGUCUAAUAACUAUUCCUGAGAAAGUCAGUAUACUUUACUUGACUGGAGGAUGAAGAUUUCUGUGGUCCAUUGCAUCCUUUAAAAAGAAAAGGAAAAAAAAAAAAAACUAAAGGGAUUCUUAGCACACUGAAAACGAAACAUCUUGGGGAUAUUGGAAAAACUCUCUUACUGAGAGCUUUCUCUCUCUAACUGAGAGCUUUCCCUCCUCUGAGUAGGAGAUUAAAAUUUCAAAGGAAAGUGCCCGCCCAAAAUACAUCUGCAUCCAACUCAUGAUACGAAAUGUGCUGGAUUCUACACAACACCACUGCUGAGCAAGGAAUCAAGAACCAGAUCUUGAACAACAUCUCUGUAGUAGAUAUAGAGAAACUGGGAGGUCGUGAAGGAGCAUCUAAAAUGACAGGUUUCACUGACUUUAUCUGCUCUUUUAUGUCUUUUAUGUCCUUUGCAUCUGCAUAUAUAUAAGUAGGUGUCUUUCUGUUCGUCUUGCCUACCUGGUAGUGCACUUACCUAGGGAAGUUAGUAGUCGGAUCUCCUAUUCCCUCUGUUUUAGUCAGGCUCUAGCUUUUGCUUUUCUAUAUAAGUAGGGGUAUCCCACUAAAAUCUCCAGUGCACCAUGGCUGAUGAACUGGAGGAAGUCUUAAAGAAGUUUGCUUUAUCGAACCUAGAGCAGAACGGAACAUGGCUGGACAUGGAUGACAUCAAUCCGGGGAUAACUGAGUGCGAAAAUAGCAUUAUUGGGAAGAUUAGAGGAGAAAAAGUUGCAAAUUUUACCGGAGUCAAGAAUUUCGUGACAGGAGCUUGGGGUUACCCAAAAAAUCUGGAGGUAGCGGAGCUAGGUCCUAACUUAUUUCAGUUCACCAUACCAGAUGAGGAGAACAGACUGAGAAUACUGAAUGGUGGACCAUGGCUGAUAGACAGUCAGAUUCUAGUACUACAUAGAUGGGAGGCUGGGAUUGAGGAAAAUUCUGAGGCAUUUAGGUUCGCCCCUCUAUGGGUGCAAGUAUGGAAUUUACCAAUCCACUGGAUCUCGAAAGAGGCAGGGAAAAAGAUAGGGAAAGUGUUUAAAGAGGUGAAGGAAGUAUUAGUCUCCCAUACAGGAGGGAAGGAAGGGAAACAUUUGAAGAUGUUAGUGUGGGCAGACAUGACCCAACCUUUGCUACGUGGAACAGCAGUCAAGUUGAAUGGGGAGGUAAAAUGGAUUAACUUUAAGUAUGAAAGAGUACCUGAUUUCUGCUAUAAGUGUGGAAUUGUUGGCCACAGUGAGAAGAAGUGCAAGAACGUAGUGAUCAUUAAAAAGGGACAACAGGAGAACCAAUAUGGCCCCUGGCUACGAGCACAAAGUGGAAGAGGAUCUCCACAUAAGGAGAGUAUUCACAGUUCAUAUAAUCCGGACAGGCAGGUUUGGGGGUUUCAAGAUGGGGAAUGGAUCAAGAGGAGCAAUGGUAAAAAAGCAGAUCAGGUGGCCAAUGUUAACAGAACUGAGUGUGCGAAAAGCUUGGAUCUGACCAAGAAGGCAUGCUCAGUAGGGGAUCAGAAAGAGGGGCAGGAAGAUAGGAUUCAGGAACCAUAUGAGGAGGAUGAGGUGAUCCAGGAUGCUCAGGAGACAGGUAUCUAUAAUAAAGAAUCUGAAAGGAUAAAUAAUGAGAGCACCCUCGAGUCUGUCUCAACAGAGUGUGAGUUAGAGAGUAUGGUGCAAGUAGCAAGGCCUAUGGUAGCAUUUGGAGAGUCUAGUACCAGGAACCUGGAUAGGAGUAUGGAGGGAAGGGAUGACAAAUCUAUGGACAUGCUGCUGGAUGAGGAAAUACAUAGCCAGGAUAAGGAAAAUGGUGUAAGAAGGGUGAGGAAAGUAAGAUUAUGGAGUAAAAGAAGCGACAGUGAUAGGCAACCUCUAAGUGAUAUUCAGAAUAGGGAAUCCAAGAAAGGAGGCAAUAGUAAGAGAAAGCUACAAAUAGUUGAUGAGGAAAUGCUGGAUAUGGAACAGAAGGAGCAGAUUGGAAAACGUUACAAAGGGAGCAAUGAGAUGGAACUUUCUGAUCAGAUACUGAGGGGGGAAGAGACCAGCCCAUCUUGGUCUCUCAAUCAUCAAUGAGAGCUCUGGUGUGGAACUGCCAAGGUGCUGGGAGCCCCUUGACAGUUCCCCAUCUGAAGGAGGAAAAUAGACUCCUCUCCCCUAGUAUCAUCUUCCUUUGUGAAACAAAAAACAGAAAGUUAAGAGGAUUUUGAACUUUGAUAAUAGUUUUGUUAUAGAGGCUAUGAAUAGGAGUGGUGGUAUGGCCCUCCUGUGGAAGAAUGAAACCAAUAUUUUAGAAGUACAAGGUACGGCUUUUACAAUUGAGGUGAAAGUGGAGGAUAAAGAAAAAAAGAAUGUUGGUGGUUGAUUGGAAUCUACGCAAGCUGUGAUAGCCAAGUGAGAAGAGGUCAAUGGGAUGUACUGAAUAGGAGGAAAGUUGGAUGGGGGGAUAAAUGGAUUAUAAUAGGUGACUUCAAUGAUAUCACCUCAAAUGACGAAAAAUGGGGUGGAAGGAGGAGGGAUAAUAGAAGCCUUCAGGAUUUUCGGGAGUUUAUAAAUGAGAACCAGCUUUUGGAUGUUGGAUAUCUGGGAAAGCCUUGGACUUGGAGUAACAACUGGUAUGGGAGUGGAGAAAUUAAAGAGCGACUGGAUAGAGGCCUAUGUACCAUAAAAUGGUCGCAGUGCUAUGAGGACGCAAAGUGUCUACACAUUGAAUCGAUUGCUUCUGACCAUAGCAUGUUGUUACUUGAAACAGAGAAGGAAAGGAAGAGAUGGAAAAAAAGAUUCCAGUUUGAUAAAAGAUGGCUACAACAUAAGGAUAUUGUGGAGGUGGUAAAGAAGGCUUGGAGUGUCCAGUGCGAGGGAACUAGAUGGUUCAAGGUAAAGGAGAAAAUCAAGAACUACAGGAUUGAGCUUCUUAAAUGGAGCAGCAAUAAGAAAGGGAACUCUCUGGAUAGAAUUAAAUGGUGCAAAGACCAGAUUGAGGAAAUUAAGGCAUCAGAGGUUGAAAACAAAAGACCAAGGAUUCAGGAAUUGAAACAACAAUUGAAAGUAGCUUAUGACAAUGAAGAGGCCUAUUGGAAUCAGAAAUCCAGAUUGAGAUGGCUAAAAGAGGGAGAUAAAAACACCCAAUUUUUUCAUGCAACAGUCAAAGGAAGAAGGAGCAGAAACAGAAUCCAGAAGCUGAAGAAAUCUAGUGGGGAGUGGACUUCUACUGAUGAGGAGCUAGGAAAGGAAAUUGCUGACUAUUAUGAAGAGUUGUUUAAGAGUUCAGGGUCGGUGGUGCUUGAUGAAAUUUUAGAGGGGAUCCCUGUAUCUAUAACAGAGCAAAUGAAUAGAGACCUGACCAAAGAUGUUGAGGAAGAGGAGAUCAAGACUGCCUUCUUCUUUAUGGAACCUAAUAAGGCUCCUGGGAGUGAUGGCAUGUCUCCACUUUUCUUUCAAAAAUUCUGGAGCUCUAUUAAGCAAGACCUGGUAAGUGCGAUUCAAGGUUUCUCCAUAAUAAUGUUAUUCUUAAAGCCAUUAAUCAUACAAUCAUCUCCUUAAUCCCAAAAGUAGACUGCCCUUCAGAGAUUAAACAGUUUAGGCCUAUCAGCUUAUGCCAAGUGGUCUACAAAGCCCUUGCAAAAAUUCUGGUCAAUAGGCUUAAACCUUUCCUAUCUAAGUGCAUUAGCAAAAACCAGUCUGCAUUUGUCCCAGGUAGGCAAAUCAUAGAUAAUGUCAUCCUUUCCCAUGAGUUGCUGCAUUUCUUGAAAAACAAAAGACAAGGGAGAGCUGGGAUGAUGGCAGUGAAACUUGACAUGUCAAAGGCCUACGAUAGGGUGGAGUGGGGUUUCUUGAAAGUGAUAAUUGAAAGAAUGGGAUUCUGUUACAAGUGGAUAAGAUGGAUUAUAGCCUGUAUUAGCUCAGUCACCUACUCCUUCAACAUAAAUGGUGACCAGAAGGAGUACAUAACCCCAACCAGAGGGAUAAGACAAGGUGACCCACUUUCUCCAUACUUGUUUCUGUUGUGCUCAGAAGGGUUGUCUAAUCUGAUUCAGAAAGCUAAGCUGGGGAAGCAACUGACAGGUAUAAAAAUCAGUAGAGGGGCACCAGCAAUAACACAUUUGUUUUUUGCUGAUGACUCUCUAGUAUUCUGCAGAGCUAAUGGUCAGGAAGCUGGGGUGCUAAUGAGCAUUCUCAAGGUGUACGAAAAGGUAACUGGUCAGCUUAUCAACAUGGAUAAAUCCUCAGUGUUCUUCAGUAAAAACACAACCCAAGUUGUAAUAGAGGAAGUCUGCCAAGCUAUGGGAUCUAUUCAGCAGAUAGGACAGGGUCAAUACCUAGGCCUCCCUAUGAUCAUAACAAGAUCUAAAGGGCAGGUGUUUGGGUAUAUACGGAAUGCUGUUGAUAAGAAACUGCAGAGUUGGAAAAAUAAACUGUUAAGCCAAGCAGGGAAAGAAGUCAUGCUUAAAGCUGUAGCUAUGGCUAUGCCAACUUACACCAUGUCAUGUUUCAGGAUGAGCUCUAAAAUGUGCAGGGACAUAAGCGCAAAAAUGGCAGACUACUGGUGGGGGGAGACAGAAGGAAAGAAAAGGAUGCAUUGGAUUGGAUGGAGAAAGAUGACAGAAUCCAAAAGUAAGGGGGGUAUGGGAUUCAAAGACUUGCAAGGUUUCAAUAGAGCUCUACUGGGCAAGCAAGUUUGGAAGCUGUUAACACAACCAAACCUGCUAGUCAGUAGAGUCUUGAAGGAAAAAUACUACCCCAGGCAAUCAUUAUUCACCAGUAAAGUCCCUCAAAAUGCUUCUUGGAUUUGGCAAAGCCUAGCUGAGGUGCGAAAAGAAGGUCAGAAGGGUAUCAAAAGAAAGAUAGGAAAUGGCAAGGCUACGUGUAUCUGGGAAGACUGUUGGAUUCCAGAUAGCAAAAGUGGGAAACCAACAACACCAAGACCACCAGGAUGUCAUUUAAAGCAUGUGUCAGAUCUUAUCAUCAACAACAGAUGGAAUGCUGUCUUGAUAUUCAGAAUAUUCAGCCAGCAAGAUGCCGAAAGGAUACUGAGGAUACCUAUAAGCUUUACAGGGAAAGAUGAUGGGCAUUACUGGAUUCACUCUCAAACUGGACAAUACACUACUCAAUCUGGAUAUAAGAAUUGGUUGAAGGAAAAGGAGCUGGAGAGUAUAGGAAGGAGGGAUGAAGCAGGGACAAGCUAUGAAGGAUCUAUAAAGAGAGUGUAGACACCAAAUUUUUGGUGUUUUAUUAUUUAUUUUUUUUACUAUUUGUUUUUUAUUUGUUCUAUUUUUAUUUGUCACAAUUAGUUUUAUUUACUUUUAGUUUUAGUUAUUUUAGCCAUUUUAGCGUAGAAUUUCUCAAAGGAAAAAGAAAAGCGUUCAAAAAAUAUGUUUUAGUUGUUUUGGAUUUAGUUUCAUUAUCUAAAAAUGAAAAGAAAAAAGAAAAAUUGAAAAAUGAAAAAGAGGGAAAAAGAAGAAGUGGAAAAGAAGAAAAACAAUGAAAAAUGGAAAAAGAAAAGAGGAAAAUGGAAAUUGCACUUUGUUGCUUUUAGUUUAAUCAUUUUUAUCCAAUGUUAAUUAAAUUAUUUUUAUUUAUUUUUAUUAUCAAUUUUGUUUUAAUUAAUUUCAAAAAAAAAAAAAAAGUGUUGCGGCAUGCACGCUGCAAUUUUUUGCAGCGUGCAAAGGACAGCCACGGAGCUACUUUGGAGGGCUGGAUGUGAAGGCAAGGGAGGCCUUUCAUCCUCACCAUUGGGGUGAGGGUUUAGGAACUUGGAUUCCCAUAUAAAUAGCAAGGGAAAGCAGCAGCCGUAGGGGUUUUUAGAGGAGAGAGCUGACGGAAGGAAAAACCGAGAGCAAGGGAGAGAAAUCUGGGCUGAGGUUUCUAAGAGAGAAAAGAGAGCAAGAGAGGGUGGCGGCUGGAAACUAAGUGAGGGAGAACGGGAGAGAGCAUUAAGGGACGGCUAAAAAACAAGUAACGAAAAGAGAAUCGGGGGGGAGCUAAGCAGAGACAGACGGCUAGAAAGAUUUUGAGGAGAGCAAAGAAAGAAGCCGAAAGGGAGUUUUGGGUGGCGACUGAGAGCUAGCAAACAGGAGGAAGAAAACAGCCGAGAGGAGGGCUAAGAAAACAAGAAAAGAGGAUCCAUGAGCGGCGAGGCUUUGAGGGGAAAAGCUGUCGACCAAACAGGGAGGGAAGACAGAAUCUGGUGCUUUUUCCUUGGCGAGCCAAGAAUCUAUUGAAGCUGCUGACCCUCGUGAGAAGUUGUGAUACCAUCUUCAGCCGUGAAUCUCCAUCGAAAGCGAAGAAAGAAAAGUUCAGAACCUCUCUGCUGAAAUUUGAGCCAAGCGAAAGGGGCGCCAGGUUUCACUCCAGAAAAUCUACGCAGCUUGCAUCGGUUCCUUAGGUUUCGUUGUCUCGGUUUAAGGGCAGUGGAACGGGUAAUUUUCUAUCCUGUUUUCUUUUUUCAUUUUUAUCGUUAAGUGAAGCCCAAAUCUGCUAGGCCGAAACUGGGUUUGGUUCAUCUGCUGGUUCUCUGCUAAGUUAAUAUGCAUUAACCUUGCGCCCGACUUGGGUUAAAGCUUUGGUCUGGUAUCUUAUUUGCUUUCAUGGUCUGUGUUUAGGAGGUUCCCUUGAAGGCUUAGUUUUUCUGUUUUAGCUGGGAAAAUCGUGGUCUUGACCUGGGUUUUGGGACCUCCAUUUGGGGUUUUACUUGUAGCUUGAUUGAUACAGUAUGUGCGCAUGAGUUUAACUACAUUGGGUUGUGGAUUUUAAUGGGUUGUGGCUGAUUGUCUUACUAGUUGUGGUUUAACUUUGUGAAGUAUGUUUGAGUGGAAUAAAUCGAAAAAUGAUAGUAGGAAUAUUGCAGAAAUUUUCUUGCUUGAGGUUCGCAUGAUUGAAUGACCGAAUUUCUGUAAUUCUGUUGCUGCAUUAAACUGUGAAUUCCAUGAUUAGCUGGAACCUUUGCUGUCGAGGUGCUGCACCACGGUUCACAGCUCGUGAGGACCACAUUUCUGUUCUUCAUGUUUUCGUGUCUUGCGUUUAUAGCAUUCAGGUUACCAGCUAGGGGAUGAUUGUUUCAUCUUGAUCAGAUUCAAAUUUUUCAAGAGCAUAAAAAUACUUGGCUGCACCUUCGUUUUGCUGUUAUGAAAACAGCUGCUGCACUUUUCAUUCUCCCUUCGUUUGCUGUUUACCUUUCAUCCUUGAUGAUUAGCUCAAAAUUCUUGGCUUCAAUCCUGCAACAAGAUUGCAUGUUUCAGGUGAUAAUUGAUAGUUAGAAUCCCAGUGUUUGAUGAGCUUGUUUACAUGAUGAAAAAGCAAAAAAAGUCUCGGCUGGGAAGAAUUGCAGAAACUUGCGGCAUUUCCUUUCUCUCCUUCUAUUGCUGUUUUGCUGUUUACUUUCAUCUUUGAUGGUCAGCCCCAAUUCUUUGUUUCCACCCUUCCAUGAAGUUGCAUGUUUAGUCAAUGAUUGUUAGUGAAAAUCUUGACAUUUGGUGAGCAUACUCGCAUGACGAACUGGAAAGGAAUUCACGGCAGAAAUUGCAGCACUUUACUCCUUUCUUUGGUUGAUAUUUCUUGUAUCUCUGGUAGCCACCAAUCCAGAUUUUCUGUUUUAGUCUUGUAAUGGAAGUGUCACUCGAAUUGGUUGAUGAUUAGGAGUGAUGUUUUGUGGUUGUUGAUGUUUGUUUGGUGAUGCAUUUGGUUAAUAAUGAAACACAGCAUAUCAUAUAGGAAAGGAAACCAGAAUUGCGGAAGGCCUUCUACGUGAUUGCAUGGUUUUUGCAUGAAAAUAACUUCUGAAAAAUUACACUUUAACCCCCCAAGUCUCUCCUUUAUUUCACUAGAACCCAAUCAAUUAAAUAAUUUCAUCAAUUUGGUCCUUGGUAAUUUUAAUUCGUGCAACUUCAUUGCUUAUUUGCUUCAAUUAACUACCAUGCUUUGUUUCAAUUGCAUUUAAGACAUGACUUUAGGGGCUUUAUGAUCAAGUGAGCUUUGUUUUGCGCAUUUCUUUUAAUUUUUCUUAAAUAAAGUGGUACCUUGACUUUUUUAUUGUUUUGAAGCCAUUUUUACUUCAUUUGAUUACCAUCGCGAGGGAGGUAUAACUUCUUUUAUCUUUUUUGUCUCUCCUACGUGAUCCAACGUGCUAAGUGAAAAUUGCAUGUCUACUUCGUUUUCUUUGCCUUUUCUUAAUUCCUUUCAUUUAUUUCAUUUACUUUUGCUUUUAUUCUUUUAAUGGGGUAUGUGUACACCUCUUGGCUUGUAAUAGAUAGGGCUCGGAGAGCAUUUUGUCCAUUCUCCCCUUCCCCUUUUGUUUCAUUGCUUGUUUUGGUUGCUAUGUGUUUAAUUGCUUUAUUAGGCCUUUGCAUCUAGUCGAGCAUGCUAAGUGUUAUGUGCUACGUGUUUGUAGAUGAUUUGCAUGCCUACUGGCUUUCUAUAGUCAUAAAUGAACUUGAUGGAUGAAUGUACGUCCCUACACUAGUCCAAUGCUAGUUGUGGCCCCUUUUCCGUCACCGCACUAGUCCAAGGCUAGUUGUAGUUUUUUGCUCCGUUUCCACUAGUCCAAUGCUAGUAGGAAUUCAUAGAAAGGGCUAGUCCAACGCUAGACCCAAUAGGCCGUCCCUUCCGAUAGUUCAUAUUUGCAUGUUCACUACAUGUCAUGCAUUUUUCUUAGUUUUAUCAUUUGGCAUGCUCCUCGAACCCCUCUUCCCCUCAUUUUUAGGUUUUUGCAUUUCACGCCAGUUAUAGGGUACAUUUGCUUGAAGGGUCCCCUUAAAUAUGGGAUAUAGACGAGUGUGGCUUUUUCUAAGCCUUAACACGCUUGUAUUCCCUUUAUCAAAGGAAAAAUUGAGUCACGAUUUAGGUCUCCCCGUGCCCAAUAUGCAUGCAUUCCCUAGGCUCAUGCACUUUAAAUCCAUCCCACCAUUUUAUAUCCUCAUUACACUUUCAUUUUUCCUUCCAUUUGCACACGUGCACCUUUAUAUCCCUUCACUUGCACACGAACACUUUUAUCUUCACUUGCACACGAACACUUUUAUCUUCAUUUGCACACCUCCACUUACAUCCCAUUAUUUUUAUCAUUUUUCUCACUUCACACAAACUCACAUUUUCACAUGGCAUGCAUUCCACCCAUUUUUACGUCAUUUAGGUUUAUGUGUGACCUCUUCAAAGGAUCAUUAUUGGGCUUCACAAUUAAUGUGAUUGGCACCACUCAACCUUUGAAGAGAGAUUUCCCCCAUGUCCCCCUAGGUCUAGAUUUUUGCAUUCAUAUAGACAUAUCCAACACGCGAUACAUACCUUGGGUAGAAAAAUUAGGAAAAGUUGGGUUAAGUCACGCAACUAGCCUUGGCUAGGUCGAAUGGGUGCCUUGGAUUUUUAUCAUUGCCUUCCCCUUCGUCAAAUGUGACCCCCGAUCCCUCUUUUUUGGUUACGUAGACCCAAAAGUUCUCUAAAAGGGUUUAUUUACUUUUUUCAUUCAAAAAUAAAAAAUCAUUUUUUGGGUGACUUGGUACACCCUAACUCUAUACCAAGUGGCGACUCCAUUUUCAUUAAAAACCCUUUUUUGAACUUUAUAUGGCCAAACCGUCGCAUUAUCAAGUCCCAUGGCCUUUAUUUUCAUUUUGCACACGUUCACACACACACUACACACUCACAUCUCACACAACACAUUCAAAAAGUGGGGCGCGACAGAGAGCUUGGAAAUCACUUUGGAAGCAGAAAGUGUGCCAAAAAAUGAAAGUAUUUAUAUGGAAAUGUCUGCAUGGAGGGCUCCCAGUGAGAGGUGAAAUUUACAGACGAACGAAGCAAGGAGAUCCUAAAUGUGCAGCGUGUGGUGAAGAGGAUGAAACAGUAGAACACAUGUUGCUACAAUGCAACAAAGUAAAGGAAGUUUGGAAGCUAGCGCCUGUACAAUGGGAUGGCAUACAGCAUGUAUCAAACUGUUUCAUGAAAUGGUGGACUGCAAUCAUGGAAGCUCAAGAGGAGAGAGGAGGAGAGGACCAUGCGAACCUCACCAUAAAUAUUCUCUGGCAGAUUUGGAAGGCCAGAAACGAGAGGGAGUUUGAAUGCAAGGAAAAGGAACCUCAUAAAGUAAUACAAAAAGCUGUGAAAGGUUGGACGGAAUUUGAUGAGGCCAACAUAGGGAAGGAGACAAGGAAGAACACUCAGGGAAUAGAAAUACUGGAAUGUGCUGAGCAAGACCAAAGACAGAGUGAGAACCAAGCCAGGCUGAUGAUCAAGGUCCACACUCACCAAGACAGAAGGCAACAAAUGGUGGGAAUUGGAGUCACUGCGACUGACUUGGCAGGUUGUCUACAAGCGAGUUGGGCAUUAAGGGAAAGAAUGUCAGGAGACACAAAGCAGGACCUAGCUGGUGCGGUGAGACUUGCACUAUUGAACGCAAUCAAUCAAGGCUGGACAUGUAUUAAAGUGGAGCUGGAGGAUAGUGAGCUGGUAGAGUGCAUAAAACAUACAAGGACAAGUAAUCAACAGAUGGCUACUCUGCUGGAGGAUAUACAAUCUAUAAGUAAUCUGUUCCAAAAGUGUACUUUCUCUUUUGUUGAAUCAGGAUUCGUAGGAAGUAUCAAGUUGAGCAUGUAUGCUCUAAAUAUCUUUGUUGAUGAGGAAUGGGUGAAUCCCAAUUUGAAGUGCUAGGCACUAAUGUUUUGGUAGGACUUUUGUCCUGGUGAAUGGACCUUUGUCCAUAUAUGUACAUGUUUGAGUAAUUUAUAAAGCUAUCGUUUCGACAAAAAAAAAAAAGAAAACGAAACAUCUUGCAUGUACAUUUCCUGCUAUGUCGUACCUCCACUUCCUACGAGUCUAUGACCACCAAAAAUAAAAGGCAAGAAUCUACAACAAUUUUUUGCACAUAUUGUUCCAUGUCUUAGAGAAAUUAAAGUAUAUUUGUUAUAGCAAUUGGACUUCUUUCAAUGUUUUACUAGCACAUAAGAUACUUGGAUGAUCAAUGUUUGCAUACGUUAUCUAAGUUAUAGUCAUGGCUUUCCAUUCCAUUGUACGUAUAUAUGAUUACAUCCUAAAUUUUUCUACUUCUACCCUUUUCCUGACCGGAUUUUUCAUUAUAAAAGCAUUGAAAUUUUGCUUAUCAAAAAGAAAAGAGAGAGAGAAGAAAAGAUUUUCCAUCAAUCUAACUUUAUUUAUUUCAUACAUAUUUUCAAAGUUCAUUAUUUAUCAAAGUUUUUUUGAUAGAAAACAAGAACGAUUUUAUUAGUUAAUGAGAUUGCUGGAAUUCAUCCAGUACCACUAAUUUGACAAAGCUCCAUGGGGAAUUUCAAAGAGAUUCUGGAAGGAUAACACCUCAAAGGAUUACCAAUUUUUUAAUUGUUUACCAAAGUGAAUUAUUUAAAAACAAGCAAAGGAUUUCAAACUGUCUCGCAGGUAGAUGAAGACCGGGAAAUUCCAAACUGUCCAUGCCCAUGGUGGGCUGACGAGCUAACCUUGUAAAAUUGGGUUGAACCCAAUUACAUAUGGCUCCAAUUGAACUAGUCUCGACAAAGACUAAUCAAGAAGCCCUGAUCCAGAGUCCAUUCGAAGGUUUUCAUUUUUCUUCGAUUAUAUACUAUUUUUCAGUUCAUCAGUAGGUUGUUUGAUAAAAGUUGUGAAGGCUUGAAGUUGGCAUACAUCACAAGACUUGGAAGUAAUGGCUACAAUGUUGGAUUGUUAAUUUCUUUAUGCUUUUUCUGACCGGAAAUUCUGGAUGCUGGAUUCUCAAAAUUCUCCUUUCGUUGCUGCUUUCUCUGAAUCCUGUAUCUUUACCUUCUUGUCUUCCUGGUAUAUAGAUGGUGUACAACGUCGAGGAAGGCAACAUAUGGCUUCAAUUCUUGUUCAAAUCUAUGAUUUCUGACAUGGUCAGAUGGCCUCAAAUUGUUACGUUAAGACUUGAGACUUUUUUUUUUUUUUUUGAGGGUCGUUAAAACUUAAGACUACUACAAAUGUGUUUUGCCAACUAUUGGUCUUUAAGAAUUCUAUUUAACAUCUACACAAACUACAAAAUAGAUACUUAAAAAGAAGUGUCUCAAGCUAAAUAUCUAAAUCCGUGGGGUUGGGUUGCAUUGUAAGGUAGAAGAAAUGGUAAGUAGGAAGUUCUAAAUUAUAAACCUUUCACUUGUCAAAAAAAAAUAAAAUCAUCUAACCUUGCCAUUAGUCCAUGUCAUGCCUAAAAAGUAAAAUUUUUUAUCGAUUUGGCUAACUGGUGCAUAAUGGAUAGUUGGAUACUGUUAAGAGGGGUAUCAAGUGUUAAUUCUUUUGAGAAAAUGUAGUUAAUUCGAUAAAUAUAUUUAAAUAUAAAGGAUGCAAUAAUGAUAAUUAUACGUAUUCACGUGAUAAGUUAAACGUAACGUAAAUGCGUGCUAAUAGUACUUAGUGGAGACCCAUUAGAAAAAUCUAACUUUUUAUAUCAGAGUAUCAAUUAAUUAGAAGAUCUCAAACUUGAUCUUUGUAGCGAGACAUUUUAUAAUUGCAGAUGAGCUGAAAUCAAGGGGUUUAUCAUCUUACAUGUUUGGCUAGCAUCCAAGAUUGGGCAGUAUAACAUCCUAAAAUCCCGGUACCUCUGCCUACAUCCAACAUGUUCUUGCCGUGGGAUGUUAAGAUUUAAAAUCAUUGUCGUUAGGCAUAGAGAUAAUCCAAAAUGUGGACCAAGCUCCAUUUUCACCUAAGAAAACAUGAUGUGUUUGUUUGGAUUGGGCUUUAUUUCCCCAAAUUUAUUUGCUUACAUCAUCAUUACAAUUUCCAAUACACCUUUUUACCUUCCCAAUUACCUUUUUAUCUCACAUACAUCACAUCACAAAAAGUGCUACAGUAAAAAUAUCUCUAAUAAUUCACAAUCCAAAUAGAAUAAUAGGACCAACACAAGUCAAUAAUAGGACCAACACAAGUCACUAGCUUAAUCUUUAAUAGAUACCACUCCCAUGUGAGGAGGCCAACAUUCCUGUGGUUCGAGCAGAACAAAUAAAAGUUUGUCGCCUAUUGUCAAAUACCAAAGCAAAAUUACCACAGGUUAUUUGAAUAAAACACAAGUUUGAAUAUUUAUUUGUAAAAGAUCGUGUGUUUAAAUUUUAUUAUCGAUGUAUAAGGAUUGUUUUGGAGGACGAUUCGUAAGAAUUUCAGUAAGCAAUCUAUGAUCCCAGACAAGAUUAGGAGGAUGGUUUUAUUUAUCUUAGCAUGUACCUUUCUGAAAUAGCAUUUCCUUUCUUUUCUGGCAAAGGUAUAAAGUGCUGAUAUCGACUCAAUUUGUUCAAACACGGCAACAAUAAUAAUUCAAAGAAAGCUAACCACCAUAUUCAUUGCUUACCAAGUCUGCCACAUUUAUGAACAGACUACCUCUCAUUAUGUUGCAUAAUUAGACUUCCAAAAGCAAGUCCUCAAAGCAAGCUACCUUCCUGUGUUUCUGAAACCAAAUUUAUCAAUUACCUUCCUUUAUUAUUAUUAUUAUUGUGAUUUUUUGGGGUCCAAUCCAACCACUUACUGAACUAGCAAUGCUCCCGGUUCCCCUUUUUUUGCUCUCCUAGUCCUGGCUCACGGAGUCAAUUUAUUCAAAUGGAAUUAUAGGAAUACCAAGAAAGAGGAGUCAAUGGUAUUCGUGUACUUAAUGUAUAUCUAAUUUACUAGCAUUUAAAUGCAUGCAAAAAAAAAAAAAAAUCUUUUCCGUAUUUUGAUAUGCAUAUGCUGCUUUUCUCUUGCCUUUAAAUGCUUCCAAAAAUCGAUGUUAAUUUUGUCAAAAAGAAAAAGAAAAAAGAAACUCAGUGACACCCACCAUUACUCAUACAUGCAGCACCAGCCAAACAAACCCUUUAGUUUGAUAACACACAAUCCACUUUUUUCAUAUAGUACUUAUUAGGGAAAAUGAUCGGUUUCAUCCUUCACAUUUCACAAAAAUAUUCUUUUCGUCCCUUACUUUUAAAGUGAAGCAAUUUCGUCCUUGACAUUUAAAAACUGAAAUUAUUACAUCCCUAAACCCAAAUUUCAAUUUGAAUCAAACAACCAAUCAACCUGAUUACAAAUUUUGCGGGUGUAAUUGGUAGAUCACUUGAUUAACUCAACUUGAUGUUCAUGUGAAAUUUAAUUCAUUUUGCAGGGAAGAUCUUUUUGACUCAGCUGCACAAAUGCAGGAGGGAUUAAUUCAUUUUGAUUUGGAAGAUCUUUUUUGUGCUUAAAAGUGCUAUUCUUGCUGAUUUUUCAAAUCUAUCGUAAAUGUCUGCAUUUGGAUGUGUUUACAUCUGUUAAACGUGGGAUGUAAUUUCCAUUUUUAGUGCAGAUUUAUCGUAAUGUAUUUAUUAGUUUAUCUUUUAGGAUUUUUAAUGAUGGGGAGAGUAACCAGAAUCCAUAGUUUUAAAGGGUUUCUAUUCCAGUCAUAAUUACUCUAGAUUUGAAAUCUCUGCCCAUUAAAAUCUACCCAUUUGGUUGAGAAUUUAAAAGUCAUAUCCACCAUUGAUAUUUUCAUUAAGUACUAGGAAUUUUCUAAACAGUGAAAUAAGUACCAUUUUCUCUACCAUACACACAGUUUUUAUUGAUUGGCAUAGGCACGACGCAAGAUCAACUGAAAAGCAGCUGAUAAAAAACAGAGCCGAUUCUAUGGUCUUAGAAAUAUUCGUUUUUAUAUUUGAAAUCCACAAUGACUUCAAAAACAACCUCAAAAAUACAUUUAAAUACGCACUAAAAUAAAAUAAAAUCUCUCCCUCUUUCCCCUUUUUCACACACUAUCAUCAACCGCCGGCGGCGGUCACCAUGCUCUAAUUGAGAACGGGGGACCCUUUGUCCAUGUGAUGAAAAAAAGAGCAGUGAGAGUGAUUUAGCCGCGAAAUUAAGGCGGUUUGUUUUGUUUUUCAACGAUCAUUUUUUCUCUCAACGGUUUGUCCGUGACAUUUGUCCCCUCCAUUCCCGGACAAAAAAAAAGUUUGGAAAGAAAACCACUCCUCAGCCCGCAUCCCACACAGACAAGGAAAGCAAGAAGAAAAAUCAUCUCUUUCCCUCUUUCUUGAACUUUCACUUUCACUUUUCAGGCCCCACCAUUUGCAGCAGUGUCCACAGUCCACCCUAGUCGUCAAUUAAUACUCCCCAGAAAAAGCAAAACUUGGGACUUUUUUUCAGUUUUUCUUCUAGUGCAUGUUUAGGACCCCCUCUUCUCCCUCUUUCCCUCCUCAACUCUCGGCAUCAUUCACGGCCACAUUUUCACUAUCUCCUCCAUUCUUGGCUCUUUCUCAGGGUUUCCAUUCCUUAGUCCUUUCACAUUCAGGUAUGGGAACAGUUGAACUACUUAGCACUUACCAUUGAGUAAAAAUGCAAUCUUUUUUGAAAUUUUUUGUUGAAAUGUUAGCAUUCCAGUGAUACCCGAAUGGGCGAGUUUGAAGUCAAUUAGACUAUGUUAACAUUCCGAGUUUCUCUUGAUUUAUUGAACAUUUUUUGGCCUGAGUGUCUUGUAGUUUUGGUGGCACUUUUCUUGGAUUAAAAAUGGAGAUCAAUUCUUGGAUUUCAUAUUUUAUAGUCGUAGAAAAUGAUAUAAACUUUCUUGGGUUAAUGGGUAUCAGUGUCAAUAAUUUUCUUACAGCUAUCCAAGACAAAAAAGAAAAAACGAACAUGAAUGCCCAUAUUAAGAAUGGGUACUCUAACAAGUUCUUGUACCCGUUUGUUGGUAAAGAUAUGGCUCUGUUUUGCUCGUGAGUAAACGUAUGUAGUCUUGCGCAUAUGGGCCUUUAGAGAUUUUUAUUUGUCAUGUUUUAUUUACUUCAUAUAAUUGGUCUUAAUGCUAAUAGCAGUACUCUGGCAAAUGCAUAUAGCUGUUCUUCUUCUUCUUCUUCUUUUUAUUCUCUUCACAUUUGUAAUUGUUUAACUUGGAGUAAGGAGUUUGUUUCCCAAGUGAUUUUGAGAAAGAUCACUAAGUCUUGAUGAACAAGUAGGGAACGAGGAAAUUGGUGUGUUUGCCGUGCUUUAUCUGUUCUAACGUUUUAUUAUUAGGCCUCUGUUUGCUGGCUGUGAAAAAAAGAUGGAAGGAUCAGUUCAAUUUCUUUUCUUAACUAUUAGAAGAAUUUGAAAGGAAAAGGGAGUUAAUUUGUCUUCUUUUGUACUUAAUUGGUCAGAUAGAACUGUAAAAUCCAUAUAUAUGUAAUCUGAAUUUCAUUUUCUUUUAUAGGAUGCCUGAAGAUUGAAUCUGAUACUUUUUCCUGUGAUUUUGUUUGUAAGAACUUAAACCCGGGGAAGAAGAAGUCAAUCUUUCUUGUAGUGAGACAUGAUGGAAAAGAAGCAACUGAACCUUAAUGCACCACUCUUAUCUGUUAGGAAACCUACAUCGAAUUCGGGAUCUUUACUAUCUUCUAGGAAUUCGUCAGCAAAUUUAGGCUCUUCAGAUGGGAAAAGUAGGAAGUUGUUGCACAAAUCAGGGCCAAUUAGACAGCAUUCUCUUCCUGUACCAAAAUCAGACUGGGAACUAGGUGCAUUGACAAAACCAGCUGCAGUUCCAUUUGUGUGGGAGCAGACUCCUGGAAGGGCCAAAGGUGAAGGUGAUGAACAGACGGAGACUACUAAGCGCUCAGUGAGUGCUCCGAGGCUGCCUCCGGGAAGGCUACCAGAUUCUGUAAGGCGCUAUUCAGGUGAAAGAUGCAACGAUCAGAAUAUACACAGGCCUCAUCCUGAGGUGUAUCCUGUGAGUGACCAUGCAGCUCUAAUCGAUAGCUUGAGGGAAAGUAUAUAUGGAAAUGAGGAAUCCGAUUUGGAAAGCACAGAUGAUUAUUCUGAUGCACUGGAUGCCCUGUCUCCAACGGCAUCAUUUUCAUUCAACUGCAGUAUCAGUGGUUUGAGCGGUUUUGAAGUUCCAAAUGUGAAGCAAUCUGGAACUUUUUGUGUAGACCCACAGACUAAAGACUUGAUGAUGAGCCGGUUCUUACCUGCAGCAAAGGCUGCUGUUGUAGAGACACCUCAAUACAUUCCCAAGAAGCAACCUGCGGCAACUGAACCGCCAAAACAGCCUAGAAAGGUGGUCAGUGGAGAAAGAAAGCCUUUGCUUGAUCAUUAUGGUUCUAACAUCAUAUCAUUUUACAAUCAGUUUGCAGAAGAUGUUCAGAGUGAAGGUGAGGAUUCUCAUCGUGACAUUCCAAAGAAACGAUCAAGUAAAACUUGGGGAAUUUUUCCACGUUUAUGUGUCAAGAAAUCUUUGUGCCUCUUAAAUCCUAUACCAGCAAUGAAGCCAAGGACCCCUGUUCCUAAAUCUCCUCCUACUGAUGUUGGAAGGCUAACCAGAAAGGCCUAUAGUGGACCUCUUGAUAAGGUAACCAUGGUAUCUACCUUUUUACUCUUAGUGACUGGGAAGUGUUGUCAUUUGUUUCUUAUAGUUCAGUGUCUUUGCAGCAAGCUUCUGAUGCAAAUAAUAAGAGAAGAUUUCAUUCUGGAGUUCUAUCGCGAGAACUGCAUCAAGUUGAAAAUAAGCCAAGUGAUUCUAGACAGUUCUCGUACACUUCAUACAGGGCAGGAGGACUAUCGCCAUGCAGGCCUUCGAGAAGUGGGGGAAUAUCCCCUUACCGGAAUGCAUCACCUCAGUCUCCCUUUGGCAAAGGAGCAAGAUUUCUUGGUUUGCAUAAGGAAGUUGACAAUGUUACAGCUGAAAAGUACAGUUCCCUCUAUAGAAAGUGUAGCAAUCUUCUAGAUGCAGCGCCACCUCGUAUUUACAAACAAGAUACAGUCUCACCAACCGAAGUGGUUGAGAAGACAUUGUAUAUUGAUUCCGUCACUAGUGUUAACCUCAAAAAAGAUUUACCUUCUUCAAAAUCUGAGAGCCUUGGCAAUUCCCCUGGUGAGAAUUUGAAAAUUUCAGCAGAAAGGAAAAAGAUAGAAAAACUUUCACCUCCUUACAGUAAUGGAGAAGUAAAACUGUUGGAUGUCACCAAGAAAGGAAACAAGUUAGACCCUAAAUCAUCCUUGUUGGCCCAUGAAGUUCAACCUUCUCCCACUCGUAUCUCAAAUCUCAGAGGUCUAGUAGAUGGAAGAGAGAGUUUACAGUUAGUUAAAAGGUUCAAUGAAGACACGAAUUCCGUUGACGUGAAAGCUCAAUUGGAAGCCCAAACAGAUAUUGAUGCUGUCACUCCACAAUCUCCUUUGAACCCACCUUUGCCAAAAUCACCUUCUGAAUCUUGGCUGUGGCGUACACUGCCUUCAGUCAAUUUGCGUAUUCCAUUUUCACAUUCACACCUUGGGAAGAAUUAUCAAACUAAGAAUGUGGAUCAGAAGGCUUCUGUGGCUGGUACAAAAUGGGAGACUAUCGUGAAAACUUCUCAUCUACGUUACGAUCAUAAUCGCUAUUCUGAGGUAAUGCCACUCUCAUUCUGAACUUCAUGAUACUAUGUUUUAGUUUAUAUGUUACGAUGAAAUGUAAAUGAUUUUCUUUCCCUUGUAUUGGUCUUGGCAGGAAAAUUUUCCUCGUGUUUCUCACAAACAAAACAAAAUAUGAAGCAGAGUGGUCACUGCAAGGUUUUGAGCUUUAUCGUAAAUUUGAUCAGUGCUGUUUAGACAUUACUACCUACAGCUCCAUAAUUUCUUGAGCUCAGUUACCACUUAUUUCAAGUAAGGGUAUGUUCGCUUGUACGUGGAAUAUGCAGUGCUUAGCUACACCUGUUGAAGUUUAACUUUUUGUCUGAUUCCUGGAAAAAAUAUCGCACCUGAGUCUGAGGCUUUAUUUUCAUGCCUCCAUCUUUCCAUAGUUUUGCAAGGAUUUGAUUGUUCCGAUUCCCAAUCAUCCUACUACAUCGGCUCAGAGAGAGAGAGAGAGAGAGAGAUGUAUGGAAUCUGUGAACUCUAAACACAUGACAGUGUACUUAUUGUCUUGGAAAAGAUUAGUUUUGCUUUUCAGCUGAAUGUGGCAAGUAUUUUUUGGUGCAAUGUAUAUUGCAGUUUCAAAAUUUGGUCUUAUUGAAUAUCUGGACUUUCACCUCCACUAGUCUGGCUUGACUCGUGCUCUUUUAAGUGUUUACUUCCUUCUCAUAGUGCUUGUUUGAGUGGACAAAGCAACACGCCUUUUCUCUUUGUUUCUUAUUGAUUCUCUGUGAGCUGAUUAACUCUUUGGGAAGUAGCUGUGUGUUUUGUCAUUUUUCACAUUUUCGUCAAAGACUUCCUAUGGGUAAAAUUCAAGAGUCUGUAGUUAUGGUUUCCCCUCCAUCUUUCUUAAAGGUUUGUCAUGAGGAUCCUUGAUGUUUCAUACUUCAAUCUAACAUAUGCUUUCUGGACAAGAAUCAGAAAUUUGACCAAUGCUGCUGCUGCAUCAUCACGGAAAGUACUAGUACUAUGAUACUUUAUCAAAGAGCAAGAACCUUUCUCCAAAUAUGUGGUAUCUACCUUUAUGUGGUAACUAGUACCUGCUUUGGCUGAAUUCUGUGCCUAUGUUCAUCUGAGUCAAUAUCUAUGUUCAUAACCAUUAACAACUGCAAAUAGGCACCAUUUCAACAUCUGCUUGGAUGUUAUAUCUACAAUCACAUCUGUGAUCAAAGGUAUUAGUUGUCCAUUGAUGUCACUUUCCUCUGCUUUUUUCUCAUCUCCAAACUUCCCGCUUGGUUAUUACUCUGGAAAAUGCAAUAAUUUUGCCACAGAUGGGAAAGCAAGUCAAAAGAUAUUACUAUUCUGCUGCACAAAGUCCACAUGUUAUCACUGUCAACUAUUUCCGGAAGGGAAUAUAUCAAGAUUAUAGAAUAUGUUACUUUGAGAGUUACAGAUGUCGAUAAACCAUUAAUAGUAUUUUAAUAUAAGAUCAAUCUCUUAAUCUAACCCUAACCUUGUUCUUAAAUAUCAAAUAUACUCAAUCCCCUCAAAAAAGUGAUCACUCUUGCGAUUUCUUAAAAUCUCAGGCAUCUACGUUGUAUGUGAAAUUCUGAAAAUCACGAACAUGCAAUGCAACUAGAUUCCUGGCAUCUUAGCUUACACAGGUAGCAUGCUACAUCUAAAACCCUGACAACAGCAAUGACUAUCUUGGCAGAAGUUGAUGCUGCAGUAACUGAUGACCGAUUGAGAUUUAAGAGUUGCAUAUGUUAGUUUAGAAAUGAAUGCAUGGGGUGCCACCAAGUAGCUUUACCAGUUCAAAGACACAAUUAAACAGGUAGAUUCUCACAUUAAUAAGCCUUUUUUGUUCUACCAAAAAGAUUAAAAGCCAUUCUUGUUUUUCUUUUCUCUGGAUUAUUAAUGCAUCACAUUUUAAAUUUACUUUGUGGGUUAAGUUCAGUUCUGAAUUCUUGUGGGCUUGUUCAGAAUGAAUACCAGCUAUACUUUUUUCAACAGCCUGAAUCAGACUUUUGUUGUUUUAUAAACCUAAUCCCAGAAUUAACCUCAAAAGCCGGCGAAUACCAGCUAUACUCGAAGGCCAUAAAUGCAAUACUCAGCUCCAGUCAUUGUCUCAUUAUCCAAACACCAGGGGCUGGAAAGCCUGGAGUAGCAAUUCCAUGUGACAAAUCCUGAAUGAUGGUCCAGUGCCUUAAUUGUACUCCAGGCUCCAUUGUAUGAUUUGAGCAUGUGAAUGAACAUGGCAGGAGUUUAAGCAUAUCCAAGCCACUUGGUCACUCUACAGCAGACAGGUAGGACACCAGGACUCAGAUGCUCCCCUUAAUUCCAAGUCUUGAAGCCAUCUUUCCCUCGCCUCGGCAUAAGUGUGGCCUAUGCAACGUUAGUUUGUGGACCAUGUUUCCUUCAAGUGGAGUACUUGUUUUUUCUCUUCAACUGUUCUUAAGAGCAUCAUACGUAACAAUCCUAUCCAAAUAAAUUCAAAAUGGUGCUAAGGUACUUAAGUCUCUAAUUAACAAUUAACUCCCACGACUGUCCCCUAUGCAGACAUACACGCGCGCGCUCACACACACAUAUAUAUUGAAAUGAUUAUUUCAGUGCCACUGCUGAAAUGAUUGCAAGAUAUAAAAGGGAUACUUACAUCUAUUGGUCCAUAAUAUAUAAAGAAAAAGAAAAAGAAAAAGAUAGAGAGAGAGAUCAUAGAUAUAGGCAAAUACAGAAAAUUUGUGAACUAGUAUCCAUUUUUAUUAGAUAACUUCAUUAUAUUUAAAACCUUCAUUUAUAUCAUGAUGACUAAAGAGUCUAACUGAACAUGACUAAUAUUUUUCCCUUUUUUCUUUAUUUAAAAAAUCGAUUUAUGUUCUAGAAUAAGCCUUAAAAUUUCUACUCUGUUAAAAUCCACAGAGAAUUACUUAUUUUAUCGUUUAGAGGAGGAAAAUAAGAAUUAUCUUUUCCUGCACCUUUGGUACAACAUAUCCUUAAAGAAAUUUCUAUACGGAAAAUGGCACAAAGGAAAAAAAAAACAGAAAAAGGAGAGAAAACGAAAAGAGUUGAAACAAAGCCCUGAAAGUUGGGCCAUCAUCUGACAUUAUCAGCCCAUAAUAGACUAUACAUAUUCACUGCCGGCCCACAAUUUUUAAAACACCGCUGUGGGAAAUUUCAGGGAAGAGAGUUGUUUAUUGAGGCUUGGGACGCUCCAAUUAAAAAAGAAAAAAAAAAAAAAAAGUCCUCAAUAGGGCAAUUUCAAAAUCCCUAUUCAGAAAUGGACUUAGCUAUAUUACUCUCAUAAACUCCAUAGUCAUCCCACGAAUUUUGUCGUAGUUGACCAUCAGUUUUGGUUAAGCUGUAAAGUUUACUAAUUUUAAUCUUGUUUAGACUUCUCAAUUUUUGCACCCAAUUUCAAGUUUUUACAUAAUCAUAUUUUGUACAGAUUUAAUUUUCCAAGACAUUUAUACAGAAACAAAAUAAAUUUAGAUGAAAUGUUUAUUGCAGAAAGGAUCUACGUGAUCAAGACAAAACCCAAAUAACAAACUGCAGCGUGCAACAGGAAUAAAACUUGUUCCGUUCAAUCUUUUCGGGGCUCAGAUGUUUAAUGUUUUAGAAGCCCCAUUUGUGUCAAGGAAGGUUGAUCCGAUUGACCCAUUUGAGAAAAGGAAUUAGGUGGGAAUAUUUUUUGAAACUAACAGAAAAAUUACAAAAUAAAUACUUAAAAUUUUUUGAAUGAAAUUAAAGGUUGUGAUUGUAGAAUAAAAAAAAAGAUUGUGAUUUUAGAAGUCUUAGAUUCCGUUUGAUAAAACUAAAUAUGAAAUUUAAAAUCUGAAUACUAAAACAAUUAAUUUACUGAAUCUUAAGCACUGAAAAAAUAUAAUAAUAUCUGAAUCGAGCAUGCCAGUGGGUAUGUAGUAAAAUUCUAGAGAGAGAUAUGAUGAAUAAAAGUAAAUGUGGCAAUUUGUUCCAAAUCCUAAUGGGCUACCCAUGCCCAGAGGGACUUUGGGCGGAAUGGGUAUUGUAAUUUUGAUAUUGGAGUUGAAAUGAGAUAUAUCCCAAUUAUACUCAUUAAUUGAUGGUUAAUUUUGGGAAAUACAGAUACUUUGAUACCCAUUAGGUCCAAAUAUCUUACCAAAAAAUUUAAUUUAUCCAAAAAUUUAGGGAGAAGAUAUGUUCAUUCUUACCAAAAUGUUACGUCUUUUUAAGCAACUGUUGAUCAUUCUAGAGUAUAAAUCAAUGCUAUUCAGGCUCAGUGGACUAAUCUGAUUACCCAAUGCUGCUACGUGCUGAGUCAAAAAUCAAUUUUUAUGGUGGUUUAUUUUUUUCACCAUGCAGAUCUACAGAUGAACAGAAACUAUUCACACUAAUUUGAUUAUCAGCCACUGAUGUGUUCUAUUCAGCUCUGUUCAUUGUCAUCUGUUUGAUUAGCAUAGCCUAUUGGUUGCAUAUGUGGAGUCAUCAAAACAUUUUGUUGAAUUCUAAUAGUGAUUUGUUUUUUCAAAAAAAUACCAGGAUUUAAUGUGGAAGCCUGGAGUACAAGACCAUGAGGUUUACUAUCUGGGAAUUUGGUGGUCAAAACUAGGGGUGUAAUCGAGCCGAGUCGAGCUCGAGUAUUGCUAUACUCGAGCUCGACUCAACUCAUAUACACCAAAGCUCGAGCUCGACUCGAGCUCGAGCGAGCCCAAAAAAUCGAUACUCGAGACUCGACUCGAAAAAUUUCCUUUAGGCUCGAGGCUCGAAAAUUUUUUUCAUUUUAGGUCUUUUUACAAUUAUGUUAUUACUUUUUUGCCAUUAUAGGAUUUUAUUAUAAAGAAGGAUAUAUUGUAAAUUUCAUAUAACUUAUACCCAUAAUGGUCAUUUUAUAAUUAUAAUACAUAUAUAUUAUUUAAAUUAUAAAUAUAUUAUUUAAAUAACUCCGGCUCGUCGAGCUACUCGACUCGACUCGAGCUGGGCUAUUUCGACUCGAAACUCGACUCGAUUUUCAUUCGAGUUACUCGAAACUCGGCUCGAACUCGGGUUGACCGAGUUCGAGCCGAGUCGUUGACCGAGCUACUCGCGAGUAGCUCGGCUCGCGUACAUCCCUAGUCAAAACAUUGCAGGUGAUAUGGUUUUGCCGGAAAUUGCAUUAUAUUCCCUAUUUGAUGCAACAAUGAAUUCAAGAAAAUAUAAAUUCACAAUAAGAUCAAAAGAAAUUUAAUAAAUCAAAUAUAUUAAAGUUAUAUAAAAAAUAAAAAAAAAGAAUUAAAGGAAAAAAUAUAAAAAAAUAGAUUUGGGUAUUGGACAGGAUCAAUAUAAAUCUAUUCCAAAGUGAUCCCGUCCAACUUAAUCCCAAAAUACGUAUGAAUAAGUUUAUGCUCAAACCUAUUGACUCGGUUCCAUUUCAAAUCCAAGCAAACCCACCUAUUCUGUCCAUUUUGCCGCCUCUAAACAAAAGGGACUGCCUAUGACAAAAAGAGGUCUCCUAUUGCUAAGUCCUUUGUAGUAAGUAGUAACAACCACUUUCAUGUCUUCUUUUUGAAAGGAAACACGCCAUCAUUUAUUGUGGUGCAAAAGUUUCACGGAAAGUGUUAUUUUCUGGUCUCAAGAUAAAUCAAAUUUUUGCAAGCAAACGGGACAUGCAAAACCCAAUUUAAAUUGAGAACCAUCUCUUGAGAAAACAAAAUUACAAGUUUAGAAAGGUGGUGACCAAUAAUGUUCAUCACAACCAAUUUGAAUUUACUAAGCACAAUCAUUGGAUGUUGGAGAGAGUGACAGACAGAUUUGUCGUAGCUAAAUGUUUGUGGAAAGGAAGAAAGGAUCGUUGUUAGCUAGGAAAAUGCGGUUCACAACCCAUAGUAUAAAAAAAAAAAUUUACAUAAUGAAAUUUUUUGAAAGACAAUAUAUAUCUAUAUAUAUCUAACUUAUGCUUGAUUGAAACUUACCGUGUGAAGGUAGUAUCUAACAUCACCAUAUUCAUCCAACAGUCGGCUUGUAGCGUACUGCGAUACACACUUUUCUGCUAAACUACCAAAUCCUAUGAGGCUAUGAUUUAAGUGAAAAUUCAUAGAUAAUUGCAUAAGCUAAAACUUGAAUCUAGAAUGACUUCUCAAACUACGAAUUGAAACUAUAUAAUCAUGCUGAAGUUUUAAGAAGUUAUUUGCAUAGAAAUUAGUAAUCUAUAGAGUAUAUAUUCAUCGUCUUGAUAUUUAUCCAUCUUAGGCAAGUGAUGACAACCACUAUAUGGCUUUUAUUUUGAUUCAACAUACUAAACGGCCUUCCAGAGAGAGAGAGAGAGAGAGAGAGAGAGAGAGAGAGAGAGAGAGGAUGGAGCUCAAAAGAGAAGCCGUACAGAAGUUCUUCGUCUAAAGUUAUAAAGGCUAUCCGACACAAGUACCACUAGAAGAUCUCACACCCUAAGCUAAGUGUGCGAGUGAGACCUCAAGUACUCAGUCUCCUUCUAGCCAAGACCACUAGUUUUGAAAAACAUUUAGAUAGACUCAGUUUAAAGGUCUACUUGUAAAUCGUGUGGUAUAGUCAAGAAUCACAUGAUCAUGGCGAUGAUGUACGAGAAUGUGGAAAAAGUAUGGAGAGUCUCUUGAAUAUACCACAUGAAUCGCAAGUAAGGCCGUAAACCCAAUCUAUCUAGGUGUUUACCAAUAGUUUGUGUGAGUAUACUGUGUACAUCAUCUCCUUUGCUAGUGUCUGUGCAUUUUACAAGCUAGAUUGCACUGGGGGAUCAAGGUUUCAGAGAGAAAGAGAAAGCCUUGUGUUAACAUCCGAUUCACCCUUAUUUUGCGCCAUGUCCUUGUAGUUCCCAAGACUUCGGCUUAAACUGAGUUGUAAAUCAGGCAACCACUCUUUGCCAUCCAGGAUCUUAUGCUCAUUCAUCAUCUGAACAGAAGGAAGGGAAAAUUCAGUAAGAUUAAAGAAUGCAUAUUCAAAUAAUUGGACCAAUGGUGAAAGAAUGUUUACAGCAGAAAAUGGGGCAUUACCUGAUGCCUGUACGGGGACUCAAUUUUCACGAUGUUGGCAGGAUUAUUUCCGUUCGUUUCAACCCUUUCAGCUGUCAAGCUAUCCCUACGAUUCCAGUUAGCUCGCUGCAUGAAGUAGGUUGCCCCGGCUGAAUUUUCCGGUUGAUGAAAUUGAUUAUAGAGUGGUUGAAAAGGAGCAUUGGCCCAUUUGCUAGCUGUAGGGUCGACCCUUUUCUCUUUCAAGUGAUGUGAACUGAAUUCACGUGGUGGCCAUCUUUUUUCUUCAAGAAAACUGCUAGGUCUAAUGGGACCAUAUCUUGUGGCUCCAUGCAUGGCAUGAAAUAUGCUUGAAUUGCAAGACUUGCCUUGACUUUUCAUCAUACUAUCUUGAUAGUAAGACCACUGCUGGAAUCUGGAAACAGGAGAAUGAAGAAAGAGAAGUUAAUUAGUAACUUGGACCAAGUUUCAUUGCCUUUGAUCACCACUAAUUAGGUUUAUCAACUGAUUACCUCGAAGAGAGAGAUUUAGCCUCAUAAGGAGAUUGGAGUGAUGCAUUAUUAAGAAUAUUAACAAUGUUGUUUCCCCCGUUGGGGUUGGAGGCUACAACAAUUGCACCAUUCUGGUAUCUGAACUGGUCAACAGGGCUACACAUUUGGUCCAUUCGCCCUGAAAAGGGACCUUUUCCUUGCAUCCCUCUUUUAGCUAGACCUAUUACUGUCAAUACAAAACAAACUAGUCAUUCUAACUAUCAAGACUUUUAUGCAGCUAGUGGUUGAAAGCAUGAACAGUGAAGAAAGUUAGAGUUACCUUGUCCAGAUUCAUCGAGUUUCUUGCUACGAUACAUCUGAAAUCAAGGGGAAGUGAUCAGGGAAAUGAAGGAUGCAGAAGUAGCAAAAGACACUAGUAGAACUAAUUGUAGCAAAAAGGAGCACUUUCUAUACCUGCAAGUGACUUUUUACAUGAGCAAUGCUUAGUCCUCGAAGGUUCAUUAAUUGGAGCACCAGUUUUGGAGUUGCUCCUGGCCAAGAAAAGUUAAUUUAAUUCCAUGAGUGGCCAUUGCUAUAUGUUUAGGAAUCUUAACUAGGACAAAACUUCAUGACAAAUAACGGACUUGGAAAAAGCAAAACAGUAGCGAAGUUCUUUUUCUUACUUUCUUGACCACCUAAUCUUUCAAUUGCAUGCACAAAAGAGAGAUGGAGAUCAGGUGUCCAUCUGAGCCUCGGCAGUUUAGAUCGAUUAUAUUGACGAACCUUUUUCUCAUUUCGUUCGACAGAUGUACAAUAAUUUUCUGAGUUUCCUUCGCUUGAUUUCUCGCAAUCCACAAGACUCAAGUCAGGAACCUCACUACUGGUUUCCUCAUCUACAUUGCUGCUUGCUUCUUCAUUCAAAUCAAUGGAUGAGAUAUUCAGUGAAGAGUCUGGUGAUGUCUGUGCUGUAUCAUCCUCAUUUCUAUCGCUCUUUAAUUUUGCAUUGACACCAGAAUCUUCAACCAUCGCUUCACAAUUGAACUCUUCAGCUAAAGUAGUUGCACUUUUAGUUGACAUUUAUGGCUACACAUGUUCAAGAAGUGAAAAGUAAUUAAUUAUCCAGAUCAAAAAUUGGAAGAAGCAAUUGGGCAAUUAAUAAAUUAAAAUAUUAAUGGAUACACAUUGGGUAAGCGUUAAACAUCUAAAUUAUAUUUAACCUAGCAUGUUAAUACACAUCAUCCAUCAUAAUUAAUGGACUCCCCACAUAUGGAAAUUUUUUUCAAAUUAACUAUACUUUUCUAAAAAAAAUAAUGGAUUAAUCUUCUAUACACUGACAGUGUAUACACUUUCAUCAUUAGAUGUAUGUCACAUAAUCUAAAUUUGAAUUUGAAACUCACAUUUUGUAUGUAUCAUACAUUCAACUAUGAUAAUAUAUAUAAUGUCAGCAUAUAUAGGAUUAACUCAAAACUAAUACACGAAACGUCUUGUAACGAGUGCCCAAUGAGCACUCAUUACUCGUAAAUUUAGUUUUUCUUCUACAUAAAGGAAGAUACACCAAGGUGAGGUUAUUAGCUGAAUUUUGUGUUUUUUUGGAUGUACAUCCUUUCAUUGUAUGGUCAUCAGUCUUUUCCCUAUUCAAUACUAAUAACUUUCAACGCAGAGCACCCAACAAGAUAAUAACGGCAUUGUUGCCGGUGUUACCUAGAGAAAUUAAGUGCCAUCAAUGCAAUAAGUUAGUUUUGGGGGAAAAUGAAGUGUUGAUCAUGUAAGAAAAUAUUAAGUCUCUCUGAGUAUGUUCCAAUGUGAGGUAUGCAUGGAUCAUUAGGGUUUUAUAUUGCAGGAAUGCAAGCGUUUUCAUUCGUUUUCAGUAGAUAAUUCAGAAAUAUUCAACAAUAUGUUAACGACAAUAUGAUAUAACAUGACUAAAAUUGAGGAACUUGAAGCAGUAAUAGAAGUAAGAUUUUCAACUACUCUAUUUACACUUUUACAAAAUCUGUCUGUGACGUCAUCGAACAACUAUCCAAAAUAAUCUUUGUGAUUACACCGAUACCUAAUGAUCUUUUAAUCUCAUAGUAAGAUUAAGAAGGAUGAAUAUCUAUAUAGGUGUUAAUGGUCCGAUUACUAGUUAGUAGUGUAGGAGGGCUAUCAUUCGAAUUUCUAAUCAUCCUAUCUCCUCCCAUGGGAACAAGAAGAUGGUCAAGAAAAAACAAAACAAUUUUUUGUCAAGUAGCAAGCAACUAAAAUAUCCUUCAUUCAUGGGCUCAUCUACCUACUACCUUCCCGAGAAUUCACAGGCAAAGAAUAGAUUAUUGCCCUAUGGUGCAAGUUCAUUCGUAAACUUUAAUAACAAGAAAAAAAACAUUGAAAUUUCAACAGAACAGAAAGUAGAAUACGGAUGACCACGUAAGCUUCAAUUACUAUAUAAGCAAAGGGUAUUAACCUAGAAAUAGUACUUUUACCUGAUUAGAUGAGUGCAAAAGAAGGCAUGAAACCUUAAAAAUAAGAAGGAACUUCUUUAUUCUUGAGAGAAACUCAAACAAGAAGAGAAAAAUGGAGAAGAGAAGGGAGAUAGCCUUUCAGUUUUGGGUCAGUAUAAUGUGAUGUAGAAGAAAAGUUCAGAAGGUUAUAAAUGAGUACAUACGUUGAUAUGGAACCUCUUUCAUGAAGCAAUCAAUUUCCAACACCUACUGUGAUAUAUUUCCUCAAGUUUCCUAGUCAUGAUUAAUUUUCAAUCACGCAAAAGCUCAUACUUGUCUAACAGCUUGACCGUGUAAGAAUAUUACCAAUCUCUCAUCUUUUAUUUGCCUUUCAUGUUUUUUUUUCUGAUGUAUGAAUUCUAAAUCAUGAUCAAGUGAACUAGUUACAAAUAUUUGACCUGUAAUCCUAAGAUUAAAAGUCAUACAAGAAAGGAAGAAACACAGAAAGGAACAAGCAAGCAGGAGGAAAUGAAACCCUUUACUUGCAAGGUGAAACCCUCUAGAGGUGGGCUUUUAGACCGCAAAACUGAGAUAUAGAAGUAGGAAAUAUCUUCAAAUUUUAUGUGUUCAUUUUCCUUGUAAUUUGUCGGAUGUCUGGAUCAUUCCCCCCCCCCCCCCAACACACAAAAAAAUAAUAAAAUAAAUAAAAGACCAACCUAAUCAGAAGGUAACUAUUAUGGCUCAAACGAAAAGUAAUUAGCAGAAACCCGUGAUUCAUGCAACCCCUAAAUCAAUCAAAAUUUCUCUAGAAGAAGGAAAACAGUUUAAAGAAGGCAAGUAUAACCAACAGAAUUCAUCAAUCCGUAGAUACAAACCAUUCAGCGAAUUAAUUUCUUGAUUCCUGAGCUUCCAACACCAGCACUUGCUUGAGAUGAUUAUCAACUACUCCACAGCUUCCAAAACUUUUCUCAGAUGAUUAAUAGAAUUGAUGUCGAUGACGAGUUAUAUACUCUGUCAAUUGGGCUCACUCGAACUUCCAAAAUUCUGAGCUUAAGCAAGAUAUAAGUUCUAUUGUCAAAGUGAAGAAAAGAUGUAGGAAAGAGAAGAGGGAGGGAUAUAGUUGGCCGAUGGGAGGGCAAGCAAGGAGAACUAAAACUUGUAUUAUUUUCUGGUCGUUUGUGAUCGAAGUUUCAACUCAAAGAAAAGGGGAUCAAGUUUUCAGUUGUUUCAAAGAGUUAAAUAGGUAAUCCAAAGAUUGAAAUUCAACGUUGGACGGACAGUCCACUUGUGCUCAUAAUAAAGCAAUAAUUCUUCCAUUAUGAAAUAUGGAUACAGACGAGACUGGUCCCUUUGGCUGGUUGAGAGCUCUGUUUUCAAACUCGGACCGGACCGGCCGGUCGAACCGGUUGAACCGGGAACCGGCCAGGUAGCCGGUCCGAGUCACAUUAGAAAACCGGAAAUUUAAAACCCGGUCAAAGCCGGUCAAAAACCGGGUUUGACCGGGUUUGACCGGGAAAAAACCGGUUUUUCCGGUUCAACAGUAUUUUUUUAAAAAAAAAAUUCAAACUUUUUAAUAUUAUGUUUUGACCCCCUAAAUUGUUAAAACUUAUUGAUAUACUCAAAUAUUUGAUACUUUAUAAAUAUUGUCCUAAAAUUUGAUGUUAUUUUUCAAUUAAAUUCAUAAUUUUAAUUCUAAACUUGUUAAUAUUUAUUAAAUAAUAUAAAUUGCUACUUGAUUGUUCUAAUUUCUUUGUAUUUUCUUGUUAAAUAUAUUUGAAACAUCAAAUAUAUAUGAAUAUGCCUUUAUUAAUAUCAAUAUAUUAUUAGAUAUUAUAUAUAUAACAUUUUAAUUUUAAAAUAAUUUUUAUUUAUGACGUCAUCCGGUUCGACCCCUAUCGACCCCCGGUCGAACCCAUUGACCCCUGACCCCUGACCUCGGCCGAGUCGCUAUCCGGUCCGGUUCUGAAAACAUAGGUUGAGAGAGUAUCAUGUGACUUUCUAAAGGGGUUAUAUUUUUUCUUGUGUUAGUCCUCUCUUUGACAGUUGUUCAAGGUAGGAAUUAGGAAUUAGGAUCUCUCUAUCUCUCUCUCUUGGCGGUGGCCUCUGAUUAAAUUAGUUUGUUUGACCUUUGUUGCAGACUCCUUCAAUUAAUUUAUGUGUAUGGUGUUUGUUGAAAUUUGAAAAAAUGUUGUAUAUUUAAAUGUUGCUUAUAAUUAAAUUGUGAUUCUAAUGUAGGGACAGAAAUGGUUGCAUUUUUCUUCUUUGACAGAUCAAAAAUGGUGUUGGAGAUCAAUCCACAUAACUACAGAAGAAUUUGCAGUCUUAUCAUGUAAAAUGAUUCAAUUAAUACACUUUUUCAUCAAAAGUUUUGUUUGACAAUCGUGUUGCAUGCACAAUCAUAUGAAAAAAAUAAAUGUAUAAUUAGAUUGGGUCAUCAAAUGAAAUGACUUAAUUGAUUAAAAAGCUUUUCACUCGCAUAUUUAAAUAUUUUUGGCACUCAUGUUUCAUGACUAAUCCAAGUAAACUUCAAAGCUAUGCUAAAUUUUCAGGACAAAGUUGAUAUAAUUUUGAAAUUAUCUCUUCCAGUCCCAUCAACUGGAUGUGAAUCUAAAGCAUAUCUCAUCAUGGUUUUUCUCUCUUUUUCAUUUUUAUAUUUUUUCAUGGACAUGAUGAAAAUGAACUUAAUUAAGGGUGAGAGGGAAUCUGAAAUCUAAAUUAUUAAGUACUAAAAUUUUAACAUUUGAGAGUAUUAUAUUGAUAAGUGAAUAACUUAUCACUUAUUGUUUUGAAUAAGUUUUGCCCUAAACACUUUAGAAUUACUAAAUUAAUUAAGAUAUUUUAUUUUUUUGUUAUCAAAUACGUUUAAAUAUAUUAAGGUAUGAACCUAUUAAAUUUAAGUUCUAAAUUGGAUUAUCAAAUAUGGCCAUACUCUCAAACUGGCUGAGGGUUCUGGUUUAAGGAAACCUUAAACUCUAUCCCAAGUUAAUGGGGACGAUAAUGAGAUACUAAACUGUGAUUCUAAGGGGUGAAUACCAUACUAGUGCAUUCGAUAGUCACUUGAGCCUCAUCACUUAUCUCACAGCAGUUUUCAAUCCUAAUUCUGGAAACCACCGCUUUAAUUGAGCCUCAUUAGAUACUAUGGAAUUUCAGUAUCUAAAGGUAACAUCCUUUUCCGUUUGGGUCAAAAAAACAAAAAAGAAUACUACUAGUUUAAUAUGGGACUGAAUGUUAACAAGUUUGCUCAAACUAGUUGAUUAGAUUCAAAGAAUUGAAUUCUGAGUAUGUAGUUCUCGAAAUUUUUGGGGUAACAAAUGGAAGCUAAAAGUCCAAAACUAAGUCAAUUUUGGUAGGACUUCCAUAUUCAAACUGGUAGAAUUGACCCAUUUGUCAUAAGCAACUAUUCAACAGUAAAUGAAGCAUGUUACCCUUCUACCUGCACUUUUGACAAACAUCCGCACUGCCAUAGAAGAAGCAAGCGUAAUUUGGACGUAUGAUCCAAUAAAAAAAAUCAUAUAUAGAAUUUUCCUCGUCAUAGGAGUAAUGGAAGAUUGAAAUCCCUUUCCUUCCCUGCUUUCAGGAAAAACGAGAAAUUGAAAUUUCAGUCUUAGGACUUUAGCUCCAAUGAAUGUAAAGAAAAUAAUAAUGACUCCGGCAGUGAAAAGUCUUAAGCUUAAUAUACCAGUCUCGAAGCCAUGAAGAGUCUUCUUUUGGUGCCAUAUUGACUUGGCUUGGACGGUGAUUCAGCUAUUAUAAACAGGCUAGAUUUACGAAAUAAAUUGACAACUUGAUUUCAACAUAUAUAUAUAUAUAUAUAUAUAUAUAUAUAUAAUGGGAACUAUAAUUGCAUUUCACCAAACAAUUCUCAUGAAUUUGCCAUUUUCUUCUAAUUUUGAUACUUUAAAGUGGAAAAUUUGAUUACAUCGUAUGCUGAAAGUAAUUAUUGUUACCUCUAACCCUAUCUUUAAACUUAGAAGUGUCCCUUCUCAAACAUGUUUCAUUUGUUCAAUGUGCACGGUCUGCAUUCUUUGUGUAAAUAAACCAGAUUUUCUUUUUGGAAAGAUAAAUACAGCCCAGCUGAUAAUGAUAUGAUUAUAAACAAAAAAAAAAAAAAAAGAAGAUGAAGAUAGAUGGGUUGACGGAGAAAAAAUGCAGUACCAAAUUUCUUCCCUACAGGGUCACCGAAUUGCUUGAAUUAUAGAGCCAAAUUUCCGUGCAAAUAGGGAAAUCCUGAUAUGAGUUACCGAAGUUUUAAUGCAUUGUUAGUCAAGGAAUUCUUUCCAUAGGGCAUUUCAAUGAUUGACUCUAUUUAACAUAUUUCAUACAUCCCUUGAGCCUUUACCGUGUUAAUGGUCUUCUCUAAACCAAAUUGUAACCAGAAUUAAUCUUUCAAAGGUCCGAUUUGUUUCUUCUAACAAAAGUAGCUAGGUCAAACACCAAUAAGCAAAAAUGUCAUAAUGUGUAUGUUGUCCACUUUCAAGCAUGUGUACGCAUGGAAAUUGUCUACAAAAUUAUAUCUAGAGAAAUUCCAAGUUUUUGUCAUAGGAACUGUUCUAGAAUUGGACUAGGCGUCAUGGGGGUUUUAAAAAAUUAAGCAUUAAAGGUACCUACAUGCCUUAGAAAAUUCUUGAUUUCUUGUCUUCUCGUGCGCAUGGGGAUUGGAGAGAGUUGACCUCAAGUAUUUUAAGACAAUGGAAUCUUUCAAAGAAUCGUUUCAUCAUUUUUCCCAUUAGUUAUUUUUCAUGGAAACAGACGUCCAACCUAAAAAUAAAAAGCAUGUAUAUAAUGAUACGUCAUAGUCCAUAAAAAAGGACCAAAAUUUGCAUGGGAGCAUAAAGUAAAUGAGAGCACCAGAAUGAUUGCUUUCAAAUGCAUUGAUAUCAUGAGGAAUAUAUUAUUCAUAAGGGGAAUUUUUGGUUUAUUCUCACUACUUUUCAGCAUUCUAUCUUCAGCCUGCAUGGCUGCAUCCAAUAGUCCACCUUGAUUUGGAAUUUUGAACAUUUUGUAUAGGGGUCAAAUUGCAGUCUUUAAUUAAUCUUGGGCUGUUUUCUUAAAUGCAAAAUUCUAAAAAGGUGACCAUGCACUUUGUCAAAACCUUUCAGAGAGGACACUGCUUUCCCUAGAUUAAUUCUUCUUGAGGGCCCCUCUCUUUCUUUGCAUUUUAAUUUGACCAAAACUCAUGGGGCAGCCAGCUCUUACCGGCCUAAAUCAAUAGGUCAUGCUGAUCACAAAUCCAGAUCCAUGAAAUUCCUAACUUUAUUGUGCAUAUAAUUUUUGAACUUUGUCCCAUUCAACACAACUUGUGCCAUAUGUAUGAGCUGGAUCAUAGUUUCUAAUCAAACAAUUACGUCAAGGUUGCUUAAUUUCAAUAGACAGAUGAACCCAAAUCCAGUUAAACUCUGUUUUUGCUUCUAGUUUUUGUUUCUUGCAAUCCUUUAUUUCUGCAUUGGCCGCAACAACUUUAUAUAUAGGUCAAUCCUUUCUCCUAUGCAUGUCAAUGUACGUAUGUCCAAUUUCACUAGAUAAAAUUUGUCAUGCAAGAGAAUGAAAGAUACAGAAAAAGAAAAAAAAAAUGGAGACCUUAGAACAUUGCAAUUUGUCAUGCGAGCCGCAAAUGCAUCAAGUUGAGCUCUUUGUUGCGUCAUAGAGUUUAAUAAAUUAAAUCUUGGGGAAAGUAACUUAACCCCUUAUAUAUGAAUAUCACCACUAACAAUUCUUCAAAAGAAAAAAAAAAAAAGAUCACCACUAACAACUGUUUCAAGAGAACAACGUUCAUAGCCGCAAAAUGUCAAAGAUGUUGGGGAUUUUUCUGCCGACAGGGGGGGAAAAAGGAUGCUGGGAUUAAGUAAUUAAUGUGCUCAUGACUUUCGAAUGUUUGCUUGCCAUAAAAUCAAUUAUGCAUCUCAUCUAUAUUACUAUUAACAAAUGCCCUUUUGUCCUGGGAUUGGACUUUUUCUUGAACCAUCAAAUUCGAGAUUUUGAUUUAAUCAACAAGGUAAACGAUACCAAUGGCCAUUGAACUUGUGGCCGUCUUUCUAUCUAGCCUUCCAACUUUUAAAAGUGCCGAUCAGGACUCUUGACUUAUGAAUUUGGUUCUAAAUAUUCUUUCCAGUCCAGACCGUAUCCAAGUAUAAUAAUUUUCACUUUGCCUCUAAGAUUUGAUUGAAUGUCAAUUCUCCUUUUCUAAGUUACGUAAAAAGUAAGGCAUAACUAGUUCGUAAUACUUGCUUUUGUUGAGUAUUAAUGGUUGACAAAUUUGAGAUAAAAGAAAAUGACAACGCUAUCUUUCUAACAAUUGACAUCCAUAAAUUUGUCAAAUUUGGGCGGAUCGAUUUCAUGGCUUCCACUAUCCUCUUCUAGCUUCCUCCUAGUAUAAAAUAAAUUGUAAAAAAAAAAAAAAAAUUUAUGGUAGUCCUUUUUUCUAAUUGAUGUUAGUCUCUUGUACUAAAACCUUCUUUUUUCUUUUUUUUUUUUGGAUUUAACUCUCCUAUCUCUCCCCAAACCCUUCUUCCUCCCAAGAGUUUUGAGCAAGAUUCUAAUCCUGAAUCUUAAAACAAAAAGGAUUUUAAGACCCUCUUUUGACUACUGAGCCGAUCCUAGUGGUUGUACUAAAACUUCUUUGACAAUGCGUUGAAAGCUAAUGUAAAACAAUUUAUAAAAAUAUACAUCCAUCACAAAACCUAUUUGGUAAAUUCAAGGAUACUAGUGGUGAUGUUUAGUUCUUUCCAAGUAAGUCAAUCUAAAUAUGGGGCUCAAAGAAACCACAAACGAAAUAGUAAUUUAAAGACAUAAUACUCUUGUAGUAUGGGCAAAUUGGUAUGCGAAACUGUAUCCAUGUUGUAGUUGUAGAUUAGAGUUUCAAAAUGGGAAGAUGCGAUUUCAUUCAUGACUACUAUUUAAAGUGAUUAAUAUACUCCACUUGACCACUGAAUUUAUUUCUUAUUUGAAUAAAAGAUUAUCAUCUAAGCUCGAUCGAUUGCGUAGAUGACUUUCAAUCCAAGUCUUUGUAAAGUCAAUGAUCUAGGAGAAAUUAGUUCCAAAUCCAAGGGGAAAAAUCUCAAGUUUUAUUUUUUUAAAAGCAAUAAAAUUUGCUGUCAAAACAAUUUAUACUGAUCAAGAGCCCUCUUGACUAGAAUAAAAGGUCUGUGUCUUCACGCAGCGUAAAUUUGUGGGUUGUGCUUAUAAGUAGUAAAUAUUUGAUAUCAUCAUGGAACAGAAACUUUUUUUUCAAAAAAAAAAGGAUUUUUUGUUACAUCAUAAACACAUUUUUUAAUUAUUUUUGUUAUUUUUCUAAACAUUUUUAUAUCUUACAUAGAUCAAAUUCCUAAAAGUAUUAAACUAUUAUUCCGAUAAUAACUUUCCAAAUACUUUCCAAACCAAACACACCGUAGUUUUUGUUCAUUUUGGUGUUGCUUUUUGUUAUACAUUUGAAAGAAGCAUGGUGCAAUAUUAAUCUUUCCAAGCAUUUUUUUAAUUCCCAUUGCCUUCUGCCUCUGCAAUCUACAUAUAGAAUAGCCACAUAAAUUUAAAAAUUAAUCUUCAAUACUUAACGGUGUAUACACUAUCAUGUUUGAAUGGGUGCUACAUAUGUAAAAUUUGAAUUUUAAAAUUAAAAUUUUCAUAUAUUGCAUUCAUUCAAACUAUGAUAGUAUGUACACUGUCAUUUUAUACAAGAUUUACUCUAAAUUUAAGUGUUGAAAACUUCAAAUAAGCUUAUCCAUAAUAAUUAUUAGUCAUUGGUCUGUUGUUCCAUCUUGCAGCACUCUGGAACCUUUUACAAAAAAUGCACUAACCAUACGUUGAAUGGCUCUUACAGGAUUAAACGUUAUCUUUUUUUCUCUUUCGGAUAUUGGUUCUUCAUCAUUUCAUUCUUUGUAGCCUGUCAGUAAAUGCAAAAUUUCUUGGGUUGAAAAGACUAAACAGUAUAAAUUUGAUCUUUUUUUUUUUCUGUAUAACUGACUAAUGGAGAUGUUAUUUUUGCGAAACCCUUUCUAAUUGGAACAAAUUUGAUAAAAUUAGAAAAUAGAAGCACGGAAUAUGAAUAUUGGGUGCUGAAAGUUAUAACUUGCCUUUCAAGUCAUACUUGUUUGUGGAGGAAAUUGUACACUUUCAAAGUGAUGCGAAUUUGUUUUUUGCAAAUACAAAAUGCAGCAUUUUGGUCCUAAGAAGAUAUCAGGUCACUUUUUGGCCUUAAAAAGUAACGUGUCUACCAUGGGAUGAUAGUUUCAAUGGCAAUUAGGUUUUCUUUUCCUUUUUGUUUUCCCUAUUCAAACUAUGUAAGAUAUUCCUUUUUGGUUUCGCCGCCGCUCAUGACUUGUGUUGUAGUCAGCUUGGAAUGCUUGUAUCAAGGCUUGCAAGACUAAUUCUUUGUUUUCCAUCCAAUCGAGCUUCCUUUGAUGCAGAGGUGUCAAUCAUAAUCUAAUUGUAUUAACUCACUCAAACUCAUUAACUAAUAAGUGGAAUUAGAUAUGUAAUGAAUUUUGAAUGAGUCUAAAUGGAUAUGCAAUUAAAUUCAUUUAAUUGAUGGGUAGUGCGUUGAUUCGACUCACUCUUUUUAUAUUCAUUUAAAAAUAAUUAUACAUCUAAACUCAAUUUUUAGUGGGUAUUAAACUGACAAAUUUGAAUUUCCUACCAAUCUAAUAAUAAUAAUAAUAAAGUAUCAAUAUUUCUUGUCAAACAGCAUGCAAAAAAUUAAAAAAAUAAGUAAAUUUCAAAUGACUUAUAAAUAAGUAAUUGAGCAUGCUUAUACCCAUUUAUUAAAUACCUAUAAAUAAGUCGACUCAUUUGACCAAUUUAAUUUAAAUGGAUAUAAAUAGAUUAAUUCAAUUAUACCCAUUAUCUAAUUAUAAUCCACUCAAAUCCGUUUGAAUCAAUCGUUUUGACACUUUUACUUCAAUGGCAGACCAGUAGCUUUGUCUAUUUACAGCCGAAACAAACGGUCCAUUUGUUGAUGGGCGAAUGAUGGGGAUUGGCUCAUUUAUCAGAAAAGCCUGUAUACUUUUUUUUGUCGCAGCGAUAGAAUUUUUAUAAUCUAAUAUAGUUUAAUCUAGGGGAGGGGGAGGGGACUCGAUGUAAGUACAGACUUCAUAGAAUGAAACCAAUUGAGCCGACACAUAUUGUGGCAAAUUUUGGUCGCACCACCAAGUUGGCCGUGACCACCAGGCCAAGGGCCUAGUGGCUACUUCUUCACCUACUACUCUAGAUUGGGGGUCGAGUUAGAAUUAAUUAACUGUUUAUCUAUUUCUGUCCAUGUGUCGAGAUUCUGUGAAGGUGAGCUAACCCGAAAAGCCGUACUUACUUUGAAUUACAGGCUGCAACUCUUCUCUAUUUGUUUGCCAUCUAGUUGGUAUUUAUUAUGUUUACACUUCUUUUUAUUUUCCCUGUACUUUCAAUCAUCAUUUUCCCCUUCUCAUAAUAUAUUCUUGCAUUUUUCUGAAAUGUUUUUUGUAUGACAUUUUAAAUUGGAUUAAUCUUUUAUGUACUGACAGUGUAUAUACCAUCACUAGUAAAUGCAUGACAACUCAUCUGAAUUUAAAUUUAAAAUUCAAAUUUUACCCAUGUGUCAUGCAUCCAACAGUGAUAAUGUAUAUAUUGUCAAUAUAUAUAUAAUUUACUCUUUUAGAUUUCCCAUUUUAGAAGUUAUCUUGGUUUUUUUUCCUCUUGCCUUUUUUUUUUCCUGAAACGUUUGUUAACCCUUUUUAUGAUUACUAAUUCAAGAAAGAGGAGGCGUAUAUGGUUCGUAAUUUACAAGUGAUGUCAUUUUUUCCCCUGAAAUUAUGUGUCGUGGCAGGCACAUGAAUUUUAAAGGUUUAAAAAUUGGCUUUAGAAUGCUAUUAGGACUAAAGUAUUUUGUUAAUGUGUUUUGCAUAUGGGAAGGAUGAAUUCGCAUCACUUUAAAAUGAUGGACGAAAAAGGUAAUAUCACAAUAUGUGAGAGAUGGUGUAAUCAUCUAGAUUUGCUCACUCCUUGGAAAAACUUCAUUCAAUAUUUUAUUAUCGUCUAUAAACAAAUGUUUUCUACUGGAUUUUCCCUUUUAAUUUUUAAAAAAGAAAAAGAAAACAUUUUUUUAUGUCAUCUUAUUAUAUCCAUAAUAUGCAUCGUCACCAUGCCCCUUAAUAAGCCUCAAUGUCUAGUUUGUUUGUUAUUUUUUUCUAUUCAUUAUCCACUAGAAAUCAUUUGACUCUUCUCUAAAUCCAAAAUACGUAUAUUCACACAUCAAGAAAACUCAAAUCUCUAUAUAGAAAUAGAUUGGUUACAACAGAAUCAUUCAAGCUUACUUGCCCUCACAGAAUUAAAUUAUAGAUGUCUGGCCUUAUUUGCGGAUCAAGUAGCACUACUGUAAUUUCUAAUUGUACCAUGGCGUCAAGCAUCAUAAUAAUUAGUUCUUAACAUCUUCAGCACUUGACAAGAAGAUGACCAAAUUUGAGUGUAUAGAAAAAAAAAAGGAAAAUUUUGAGAACUUAAGAACGGAAUAUCACUUACUACUAUAUAAUUUCAAGGGCUUGAUAAUGAAGCUUUUUGGAUUAGCUUAUUUCCUUGGCCAUUUUAGGAGAGCAACAUCUAUACAUCUAUCUAUACAACUUUUAAUUUUAUCCUUAUAGAAACGAGCUAGUUUUUACCUGAAUUACCUGAUCACAUUUUAUUAACCACCUUAAGUAAUGUAACUAUCAAAUUACUAUAGCCUAGCUAUAAAUCAAAGUUCUUUAAUUAAUUUAUAUUAAUUGUACUUAUGUGAAAAACAAAAUUGAUAUUCAAUAAUGUGAUACAACCUCCAUAUUCAAAGGCGAGAUUGCAGUAAAAGAGCUUUAAAUAGGGCGCCACUAAAUGGACUUUCAUUCUUUUUAUCUGCUCCUGGUCCCCAAAAGCAAAAACUUGAAGCCUACUGAUAAAGGUCAUUAAUGAAAACAUUCUUCAAGCCAAAGACCUUUCAAGCCCGCUAGCUCGAUUAAGUAGAGAUGAGAUAUCUCUACUGUAUAAAGCCUUUACUGAAGCGUCACCUAAUAGUUUGCCCGUAUUUCAACAGGCAACAUAAUACCACUUUAAAAAAAAAACUACCCAAGAAAGAUUAGCAAUUACAUAUGCAUCGAGUGUGUCAAAACACCUAAUUCCUGAAUUGUUGAAUUAAGUACACCUUUUGUGCCAGGGGAAAUAGUGCAGGGUUACGAUGCCAGUAACGCCGGACGGGAUUUUGACUGGACUAUGCCUCACACUUUGCCAAGAAAGAGUGGGCUGGGCUGGGCAUCACACGAUCUCAUUUUGACUGGACUAUGCCUCAUUUAAACUUGUAGCCAUGGCUUGCUUGCUUUGGUUCAAAUUUGAAGAUACCAAUUUAUUUGCUUGCAAAAGGAUCUUGAUUGGAUAAUACAUUAUUUACAAAAAAUAUUAUUUGAUUACAUCACAAUCACAUAUUUUAAUCAUAUUUUAUAGUAUAUAUAUAUAUAUCAAAUCACAAAAAGUAUUAUAGCGCUAUUGAAAAAAAAAAUCCUCCCAAUUUCAUAAUCCAACAAGUUAGUCUGUUUUGUUAGUAUUAUAGUAUAUUUUUUAUGCAGUUCGGGGGUAAUUAUAGUAACCUAGCACCUCUAGUUUAAUUUCUUCAAAAUAUUUAAUUCUAAACUUGAUUUCUUAUAGUAACUUUUGGAUUGAGAUAUACUUUCAAAAUUCCAAAUGGUAUACUCAAAAAUACUUGAUUAAAUAGUUCUGAAAGAAAAAUGAGAAGUAAGGAAAUAUGUCAUUUGUUGAGAUCAUUUGAAUUCCCUUUUAUAAGCAACUUGAAAUAAUUAAUUUAGAAGAGAUUACACCAUACUCAUAUUUUACGUACACAAUUUUCAACUAAAUUUUGUCUUUUCAACUAACUUUUUAUCUCAUAAAUACUAUUAUAUAACAAAAAGUGUUACAGUGAUUAUUCAAAUAAUCUCCUAUCCAAACACAUCCUCAUCGGACCUCUUGCAUGAAAAGUCAAUUCUCUGCUAAAUUAAGCUUAAAACUGAUAAUCUCAUAAAUACGUAGGAAAAAGUCUUCCUUCUUCUUUUAAGCACAGAUCAUUAGUACAGAUUUUGUUCUAGAAGAAGUCCAUGCAGCAAUUAGAUUGUAAGUUUAUACAAUUGGUUUAUUUUGUUGUCAUACGAUUUCAGUUGAUCAGGGUGAAAAGGUGUAAUUUUACAAGUCUUUAGCAUCAACCUCAAGCACAAUUAGAACAAAAAAAAAAAAAAAAAAAA
Molecule: long non-coding RNA, 52272 nt
Filed under: Coffea arabica (coffee)
Lineage: Eukaryota; Viridiplantae; Streptophyta; Magnoliopsida; Gentianales; Rubiaceae
Description: long non-coding RNA (CARA_LNC001598)
Source: RNAcentral